This 85244-nucleotide long non-coding RNA is filed under the name Triticum aestivum (bread wheat). Its description in RNAcentral is "long non-coding RNA (TAES_LNC028373)". Lineage: Eukaryota; Viridiplantae; Streptophyta; Magnoliopsida; Poales; Poaceae. The record is from RNAcentral.
AUCAUCAUGCAGCAACAAGAACAAGAACAAGAACAACAACAACAACAACAACAACAACAACAGCAAGGCAUGCGUAUCUUUUUUCCACUAUCUCGACAACAACAUGUGGGUCAAGGUACUCUCGUCCAAGGCCAGGGCAUCAUCCAACCUCAACAACCAGCUCAAUUGGAGGCGAUCAGGUCAUUGGUGUUGCAAACUCUUCCAACCAUCUGCAAUGUGUAUGUCCCACCUGAGUGCUCCAACAUCAGGGCACCAUUUGCCAGCAUAGUCGCGGGGAUUGGUGGCCAAUGAAAAAAGCAAGAGCUAUACUAAUAGAUAGAUGGAUCCUCGUUGCUUAGCAGAUGCACCAAUCGAUGUAACGAUGACAAAUAAAGUGGCACGUACCAUCAUGUGUGACCCCGACCAGUGCUAGUUCAAGCUUGGGAAUAAAAGACAAACAAAGUUCUUGUUUGCCAGCAUUGAUUGUCAUUGUUCCAUUCACUGUGUAUUUAGUUGUUCAUCCCUAACCGCAGUUCUAGGCUUACACAUCAAUGGCUAUUUGCUCGUGCCGGCAGGUUCCUAUGUAAUCUACCGACUAAUGGUCGGCCUAUUGACCCAGUUUAUAGGCCGAUUGAUAUAUUAAUUGCUGCUCCCAAACUGACCGACCAGCUAUUAGUUACCAUUUUGCUGAACAUUGCACACAAUAAUAACUCAACAUAUUUUAAUGUCUAGAAGUAAAAGGGCCAUUUUAGCAGCAAAACAAGCGCCUGAUUAGGAACCAUCCAGCACUUUAAAUGUUCACCUAGAUAUUUCUACGUUGAUGCAAUUUUGAGAUUGGUGGCACCGAAACAUUCCUCAAAGCAAUUCUUUAUGGGACUCCAAAGAGGUGAAAAUAAAGUAAAGUUGCCACAUGGUAAAAUAUAAAUCAUGCGGCGAGCAAGAGCAAAUAUUGAGUCAUGAUAGCAAGCGCCAAACAUGCCAUUAAACUCUUCAUAUGGUUCCGUGCAGAGAAGGGGGAAAAUUGUUGGGGAACGUAGUCAUUUCAAAAAAAAUCCUACGCACACGCAAGAUCAUGGUGAUGCAUAGCAAUGAGAGGGGAGAGCAUCGUCCACCUACCCUCGUAGACCGUAAGCGGAAGCGUUAUGACAACGCGGUUGAUGUAGUCGUACAUCUAUAUGAUCGACCGAUCCUAGUACCGAACGUACGGCACCUCCGCAAUCUGCACACGUUCAGCUCGGUGACGUCCCAUGAACUCACGAUCGAGUAGAUCUUCAAGGGAGAGUUCCGUCAGCACGACGGCGUGAUGACGGUGUUGAUGAAGCUACCGACGCAGGGCUUCGCUUAUGCACUACUAUGAUAUGACCGAGGUGGAUUAUGGUGGAGGGGGCACCGCACACGGCUAAAGAUCAAUGAUCAACUUGUGUGUCUUGGGGUGCCCCCUGCCCCCGUAUAUAAAGGAGAAAGGGGGGAGGCGGCCGGCCAAGGAGGAGGGCGCGCCAAGGGGGGAGUCCUACUUAGGACUCCUCUUUCCUAUUAGGAGUAGGAGAAGGGGGAAAGGAAGGAGAGGAGGAGAAGGAAGGACGGGGCACCGCCCCUUCCCCUAGUCCAAUUCAGACUAGGCUUGGGGGGGGGGGCGGCCCAGCCCUAGCCAGCCCCUCUCUCUCCCUCUCUCUCCCUGAAGCCCAUUAACGCCCAUAAGAUCCCCGGGGGGUUCCGGUAACCUCUCGGUACUGUGGUAUUUAUCCGGUGUCCGAAUAUAACCUUCCAAUAUAUCAAUCUUUAUGUCUCGACCAUUUUAAGACUCCUCGUCAUGUCCGUGAUCAUAUCUGGGACUCCGAACUACCUUCGGUACAUCAAAACACAUAAACUCAUAAUACCGAUCGUCACCGAACGUUAAGCGUGCGGACCCUAUGGGUCCGAGAACUAUGUAGACAUGACCGAGACACGUCUCCGGGUUUAACCAAUAGCGGAACCUGGAUGCUCAUAUUGGCUCCUACAUAUGUUGGGGAACGUUGCAUAAAAUAAACUUUUUCCUAUGUUCACCAAGAUCAAUCUAUGAGUUCAUCUAGCAACGAGAGAGGGGAGUGCAUCUACAUACCCUUGUAGAUCACGAGCGGAAGCGUUCAAGAGAACGGGGUUGAGGGAGUCGUACUCGUCGUGAUCCAAAUCACCGGAGAUCCUAGCGCCGAACGAAUGGCACCUCCGCGUUCAACACACGUACGGUUAGCGUGACGUCUCCUCCUUCUUGAUCCAGCAAGGGGGAAGGAGAGGUUGAUGAAGAUCCAGCAGCACGACGACGCGGUGGAGGAUGCAGCAGAGUUCCGGCAGGGCUUCGCCAAGCGACUACGGGAGGAGGAGGUGUAGCAAGGGGGGAGGGAGGCGCCAAGACUUCAGGGUGCAGCUGCCCUCCCCUCCCCCUCCUUUAUAUAGGCCCCCUGGAGGGUGGCGCCGGCCCUGGAGAUGGGAUCUCCCAAGGGGGCGGCGGCUAGGGGGGUGGAGUGCCCCCCAAGGCAAGUGGAGGCGCCCCCCCCCCCCACCCUAGGGUUUCCAACCCUAGGCGCAGGGGGGCCCAAGGGGGUCGCACCAGCCCACCAGGGGCUGGUCCCCUCCCCACUUCAGCCCACGGGGCCCUCCGGGAUAGGUGGCCCCACCCGGUGGACCCCCGGGACCCUUCCGGUGGUCCCGGUACAAUACCGGUGACCCCCGAAACUCUCCCGAUCACCGAAACUGCACUUCCUAUAUAUAAUUCUUUAUCUUCGGACCAUUCCGGAACUCCUCGUGACGUCCGGGAUCUCAUCCGGGACUCCGAACAACUUUCGGUUUGCUGCAUACUCAUAUCUCUACAACCCUAGUGUCACCGAACCUUAAGUGUGUAGACCCUACGGGUUCGGGAGACACAUAGACAUGACCUAGAUGGCUCUCCGGUCAAUAACCAACAGCGGGAUCUGGAUACCCAUGUUGGCUCCCACAUGCUCCUCGAUGAUCUCAUCGGAUGAACCAUGAUGUUGAGGAUUCAAGCAACCCCGUAUUCAAUUCCCUUUGUCAAUCGGUAUUUUACUUGCCUGAGAUUCGAUCAUCGGUAUCCCAAUACCUCGUUCAAUCUCGUUACCGGCAAGUCACUUUACUCGUACCGUAAUGCAUGAUCCUGUGACCAGACACUUGGUCACUUUGAGCUCAUUAUGAUGAUGCACUACCGAGUGGGCCCAGAGAUACCUCUCCGUCAUACGGAGUGACAAAUCCCAGUCUCGAUCCGUGUCAACCCAACAGACACUUUCAGAGAUACCUGUAGUGCACCUUUAUAGUCACCCAGUUACGUUGUGACGUUUGGUACACCCAAAGCACUCCUACGGUAUCCGGGAGUUACACGAUCUCAUGGUCUAAGGAGAAGAUACUUGACAUUGGAAAAGCUCUAGCAAACGAACUACACGAUCUUGUGCUAUGCUUAUGAUUGGGUCUUGUCCAUCACAUCAUUCUCCUAAUGAUGUGAUCCCGUUAUCAAUGACAUCUAAUGUCCAUAGUCAGGAAACCAUGACUAUCUAUUGAUCAACGAGCUAGUCAACUAGAUGCUCACUAGGGACAUAUUAUGGUCUAUGUAUUCACACGUGUAUUACGAUUUCCGGAUAAUACAAUUAUAGCAUGAAUAAAGACAAUUAUCAUGAACAAGGAAAUAUAAUAAUGAUCCUUUUAUUAUUGCCUCUAGGGCAUAUUUCCAAAAGUCUCCCACUUGCACUAGAGUCAAUAAUCUACUUACAUUGUGAUGAAUCGAACACCCAUAGAGUUCUGGUGUUCAUCAUGUUUUGCUUGCGGAAGAGGUUUAGUCAACGGAUCUGCGACAUUCAGAUCCAUAUGUACUUUGCAAAUAUCUAUGUCUCCAUCUUGAACAGUUUCACGGAUGGAGUUGAAACGAUGCUUGACGUGCCUGGUCUUCUUGUGAAACCUGGGCUCCUUGGCAAGGGCAAUAGCUCCAGUGUUGUCACAGAAGAGAGUGAUUGGCCCCGACGCAUUGGGUAUGACUCCUAGGUCGGUGAUGAACUCCUUCAUCCAUAUUGAUUCAUGCGCUGCCUCCGAGGCUGCCAUGUACUCCGCUUCACAUGUAGAUCCCGCCACGACGCUCUGCUUGCAACUGCACCAGCUUACUGCUCCACGAUUCACCAUAUACACGUAUCCGGUUUGUGACUUAGAGUCAUCCACAUCUGUGUCGAAGCUAGCAUCGACGUAACCCUUUAUGACGAGCUCUUCGUCACCUCCAUAAACAAGAAACAUGUCCUUUAUCCUUUUCAGGUACUUCAGGAUAUUCUUGACCGCUAUCCAGUGUUCCUUGCCGGGAUUACUUUGGUACCUUCCUACCAAACUUACGGCAAGGUUUACAUCAGGUCUGGUGCACAGCAUGGCAUACAUAAUAGAUCCUAUGGCUGAGGCAUAGGGGAUGACACUCAUCUCUUCUUUAUCUUCUGCCGUGGUCGGGCAUUGAGCCGAGCUCAACUUCACACCUUGCAAUACAGGCAAGAACCCUUUCUUGGACUGAUCCAUUUUGAACUUCUUCAAUAUCUUAUCAAGGUAUGUGCUUUGUGAAAGACCUAUGAGGCGUCUCGAUCUACCCCUAUAGAUCUUGAUGCCUAAUAUGUAAGCAGCUUCUCCAAGGUCCUUCUUUGAAAAACACUUAUUCAAGUAGGCCUUAAUGCUGUCCAAAAGUUCUAUAUCAUUUCCCAUCAAAAGUAUGUCAUCUACAUAUAAUAUGAGAAAUGCUACAAAGCUCCCACUCACUUCCUUGUAAACGCAGGCUUCUCCAUAAGUCUGCAUAAACCCAAACGCUUUGAUCAUCUCAUCAAAGCGAAUGUUCCAACUCCGAGAUGCUUGCACCAGCCCAUAAAUGGAUCGCUGGAGCUUUCAUACCUUGUUAGCAUUCUUAGGAUCGACAAAACCCUCCGGCUGCAUCAUAUACAGUUCUUCCUUAAGAUGUCCGUUAAGGAAUGCCGUUUUGACGUCCAUCUUCCAUAUCUCAUAAUCAUAGUAUGCGGCAAUUGCUAACAUGAUUCGGACGGACUUCAGCUUCGCUACGGGAGAGAAAGUCUCAUCAUAGUCAACCCCUUGAACUUGUCGAUAACCCUUAGCGACAAGUCAAGCUUUAUAGAUGGUAACAUUACCAUCCGCGUCUGUCUUCUUCUUAAAGAUCCAUUUGUUUUCUAUCGCUCACCGAUCAUCGGGCAAGUCUGUCAAAGUCCAUACUUUGUUUUCAUCCAUGGAUUCUAUCUCCGAUUGCAUGGCUUCAAGCCAUUUGUUGGAAUCUGGGCCUGCCAUCGCUUCUUCAUAGUUCGAAGGUUCACCGUUGUCUAACAACAUGAUUUCCAGGACAGGGUUGCCAUACCACUUUGGUGUGGAACAUGUCCUUGUGGACCUAUGAAGUUCAGUAGCAACUUGAUCCGAAGUACUUUGAUCAUCAUCAUUAAUUUCCUCUCCAGUCGGUGUAGGCACCACAGCAACAUUUUCCUGAGCUGCACUACUUUCCGGUUCAAGAGGUAGUACUUCAUCGAGUUCUACUUUCCUCCCACUUACUCCUUUCGAGAGAAACUCUUUUUCCAGAAAGGAUCCGUUCUUGGCAACAAAGAUCUUGCCCUCGGAUCUUAAGUAGAAGGUAUACCCAAUGGUUUCCUUAGGGUAUCCUAUGAAGACGCAUUUUUCCGACUUGGGUUCGAGCUUUUCAGGUUGAAGUUUCUUGACAUAAGCAUCGCAUCCCCAAACUUUUAGAAACGACAGCUUAGGUUUCUUCCCAAACCAUAAUUCAUACGGUGUCGUCUCAACGGAUUAAGACGGAGCCCUGUUUAAAGUGAAUGUAGCUGUCUCUAGAGCGUAUCCCCAAAAUGAUAACAGUAAAUCGGUAAGAGACAUCAUAGAUCGCACCAUAUCCAAUAGAGUGCGAUUACGAUGUUCGGACACACCGUUACGCUGAGGUGUUCCAGGCGGCGUGAGUUGUGGAAUGAUUCCACAUUUCCUUAAGUGCGUACCAAAUUCGUGACUUAAAUAUUCUCCUCCACGAUCUGAUCGUAGGAACUUUAUCUUUCGGUCACGUUGAUUCUCUACCUCAUUCUGAAAUUCCUUAAACUUUUCAAAGGUCUCAGACUUGUGUUUCAUCAAGUAGACAUACCCAUAUCUACUCAAGUCAUCAGUGAGAGUGAAAACAUAAUGAUAUCCUCCGCGAGCCUCAACGCUCAUUGGACCACACACAUCAGUAUGUAUGAUUUCCAAUAAGUUGGUUGCUCGCUCCAUUGUUCUGGAGAACAGAGUCUUGGUCAUUUUGCCCAUGAGGCAUGGUUCGCAUGUGUCAAAUGAUUCAUAAUCGAGAGACUCUAAAAGUCCAUCAUCAUGGAGCUUCUUCAUGCGCUUGACACCAAUGUGACCAAGGUGGCAGUGCCACACGUAUGUGGGACUAUCGUUACCAACUUUACAUCUUUUGGUAUUCACACUAUGAAUAUGUGUAACAUUACGUUCGAGAUUCAUUAAGAAUAAACCAUUGACCAUCGGGGCAUGACCAUAAAAUAUAUCUCUCAUAUAAAUAGAACAACCAUUAUUCUCGGAUUUAAAUGAGUAGCCAUCUCGUAUUAAACGAGAUCCAGAUACAAUGUUCAUGCUCAAACUUGGCACUAAAUAACAAUUAUUGAGGUUUAAAACUAAUCACGUGGGUAAAUGUAGAGGCAGCGUGCCGACGGCGAUCACAUCGACCUUGGAACCAUUCCCGACGCGCAUCGUCACCUCGUCCUUCGCCAGUCUCCGCUUAUUCCACAGCUCCUACUAUGAGUUACAAAUAUGAGCAAUGGCACCGGUAUCAAAUACCCAGGAGUUACUAUGAGUACUGGUAAGGUACACAUCAAUUACAUGUAUAUCACAUAUACCUUUAGUGUUUUCGGCCUUCUUGUCCGCUAAGUAUUUGGGGCAGUUCCGCUUCCAGUGACCCUUCCCUUUGCAAUAAAAGCACUCAGUCUCAGGCUUGGGUCCAUUCUUUGACUUCUUCCCGGCAACUGGCCUACCGGGUGCGGCAACAUCCUUGUCGUCCUUCUUGAAGUUCUUCUUACCCUUCCCUUCUUGAACUUGGUGGUUUUAUUGACCAUCAACACUUGAUGUUCUUUCUUGAUUUCUACUUCUGUUGACUUUAGCAUUGAAAAUACUUCAGGAAUAGUUUUCACCAUCCCCUGCAUAUUGUAGUUCAUCACAAAGCUCUUGUAGCUUGGUGGGAGCGACUGAAGGAUUCUGUCAGUGACCGCCUUGUCCGGGAGGUUGAUGUCCAGCUGGGACAGGCAGUUGUGCAACCCAGACAUUUUGAGUAUGUGCUCACUGACAGAACUAUUUUCCUCCAUCUUACAACUAUAGAACAUGUCGGAGACUUCAUAUCUUUCGACCCGGGCAUGAGCUUGGAAAACCAGUUUCAGCUCCUUGAACAUCUCAUAUGCUCCGUGUUGGUCAAAAUGCUUUUGGAUCCUCGGUUCUAAGCUGUAAAGCAUGCCGCACUGAACGAGGGAGUAAUCAUCAGCACGUGACUGCCAAGCGUUCAUAAUGUCUUGGUUCUCUGGGAUGGGUGCAUCACCUAGUGGUCCUUCUAGGACAUAUGCUUUCUUAGCAGCUAUGAGGAUGAUCCUCAGGUUCUGGACCUAGUCCGUAUAGUUGCUUCCAUCAUCUUUCAGCUUGCUUUCUCUAGGAACGCGUUGAAGUUCAUGUUGACAUGAGCGUUGGCCAUUUGAUCUACAAGACAUUUUUGCAAAGAUUUUAGACUAAGUUCAUGAUAAUUAAGUUCAUCUAAUCAAAUUAUUUAAUGAACUCCCACUCAGAUUUGACAUCCCUCUAGUCAUCUAAGUGUUACACGAUCCGAGUCGACUAGGCCGUGUUCGAUCAUCACGUGAGACAGACUAGUCAUCAUCGGUGAACAUCUCGAUGUUGAUCGUAUCUUCCAUACGACUCAUGUUCGACCUUUCGGUCUCUGUGUUCCGAGGCCAUGUCUGUACAUGCUAGGCUCGUCAAGUUUAACCUAAGUGUUUUGCAUGUGUAAAACUGUCUUACACCCGUUGUAUGUGAACGUAGGAAUCUAUCACACCGGAUCAUCACGUGGUGCUUCGAAAUGACGAACUUUAGCAACGACGCACAGUUAGGGAGAACACUUUCUUGAAAUUAUUAUAAGGGAUCAUCUUAUUUACUACCGUCGUUCUAAGUAAACAAGAUGCAUAAACAUAAUAAACAUCACAUGCAAUUAUAUAGUAGUGACAUGAUAUGGCCAAUAUCAUAUAGCUCCUUUGAUCUCAAUCUUCGGGGCUCCAUGAUCAUCUUUGUCACCGGCAUGACACCAUGAUCUCCAUCAUCAUGAUCUCCAUCAUCGUGUCUCCAUGAAGUUGCUCGCCAACUAUUACUUCUACCACUAUGGCUAACGGUUUAGCAAUAAAGUAAAGUAAUUACAUGGCGUUAAAUCAUUGACACACAGGUCAUACAAUAAUUAAGACAACUCCUAUGGAUCCUGCCGGUUGUCAUAUUCAUCGACAUGCAAGUCGUGAUUCCUAUUACAAGAACAUGAUCUCAUACAUCACAAUAUAUCAUUCAUCAUUCAUCACAACUUUUGGCCAUAUCACAUCACAAGGCAAUUGCUGCAAAAACAAGUUAGACGUCCUCUAAUAGUUGUUGCAUCUUUUACGUCGCUGCAAUAGGGUUCUAGCAAGAACGUUUUCUUACCUACGAAAAAGCCACAACGUGAUUUGUCAACUUCUAUUUACCCUUCAUAAGGACCCUUUUCAUCGAAUCCGCUCCAACUAAAGUGGGAGAAACAGACACCCGCUAGCCACCUUAUGCAAGUAGUGCAUGUCAGUCGGUGAAACCUGUCUCAUGUAAGCGUACGUGUAAGGUCGGUCCGGGCCGCUUCAUCCCACAAUACCCUGAAGCAAAAUAAGACUAGUAGCGGUAAGAAAGUUGACAACAUCUACGCCCACAACAGAUUUGUGUUCUACUCGUGCAAUAGAGAACUACGCAUAGACCUAGCUCAUGAAGCCACUGUUGGGGAACGUUGCAUAAAAUAAAAAAUUUCCAACGUUCACCAAGAUCAAUCUAUGAGUUCAUCUAGCAACAAGAGAGGGAGUGCAUCUACAUACCCUUGUAGAUCGCGAGUGGAAGCGUACAAGAGAAUGGGGUUGAGGGAGUCAUACUCGUCGUGAUCCAAAUCACCGGAGAUUCUAGCGCCGAACGGACGGCACCUCCGCGUUCAACACACGUAUGGUCAGCGUGACGUCUCCUCCUUCUUUAUCCAGCAAGGGGAAAGGAGAGGUUGAUGAAGAUCCGGCAACACGACGGCGUGGUGGUGGAUGCAGCAGAGUUCCGGCAGGGCUUCGCCUAGUGACUACGGGAGGAGGAGGUGUAGAAAGGGGGGAGGGAGGCGCCAAGACUUCAGGGUGCGGCUGCCCUCCCCUCCCCCUCCUUUAUAUAGGCCCCUUGGGGGGGAGCCGGCCCUGGAGAUGGGAUAUCCAAAGGGGGCGGCGGCCAGGGGGGUGGAGUGCCCCCCAAGGCAAGUGGAGGCGCCCCCCCACCCUAGGGUUUCCAACCAUAGGCGCAGAGGGGGGCCAAGGGGGCACACCAGCCCACCAGGGGCUGGUCCCCUCCCCACUUCAGUCCACGGGGCCCUCCAGGAUAGGUGGCCCCACCCGGUGGACCCCCGGGACCCUUCCGGUGGUCCCGAUACAAUACCGGUGACCCCCGAAACUCUCCCGAUGGCCGAAACUGGACUUCCUAUAUAUAAUUUUAUCUUUGGACCAUUCCGGAACUCCUCGUGACGUCCGGGAUCUCAUCCGGGACUCCGAAAAACUUUCGGUUUGCUGCAUACUCAUAUCUCUACAACCCUAGUGUCACCGAACCUUAAGUGUGUAGACCCUACGGGUUCGGGAGACACGUAGACAUGACCGAGACGGCUCUUCGGUCAAUAACCAACAUCGGGAUCUGGAUACCCAUGUUGGCUCCCACAUGCUCCUCGAUGAUCUCAUCGGAUGAACCAUGAUGUCGAGGAUUCAAGCAACCCCGUAUUCAAUUCCCUUUGUCAAUCGAUAUUUUACUUGCCCGAGAUUCGAUCGUCGGUAUCCCAAUACCUCAUUCAAUCUCGUUACCGGCAAGUCACUUUAAUCGUACCAUAAUGCAUGAUCCCGUGACCAGACACUUGGUCACUUUGAGCUCAUUAUGAUGAUGCACUACCGAGUGGGCCCAGAGAUACCUCUCUGUCAUACGGAGUGACAAAUCCCAGUCUCGAUCCGUGUCAACCCAACAGACACUUUCGGAGAUACCUAUAGUGCACCUUUAUAGUCACCCAGUUACGUUAUGACCUUUGGUACACCCAAAGCUAUCAGGACCCCGACUCAAUGCCACAUCGAUCUAGCAUGUAACACCUCAUAUCACUUUGCGGCCUCACGCACGGUAUUCCCACGGGUGUCGUCUUACCUUUGCCCGGGACCGUUUGCACCUUUUGGCACACGUAUAUGAUAGUGUUGCUGGCAUCCAUAUGGUAAGGAGCCCGGGCUGACAUGGCUAGUCGUAAACCCAAAGUGGCACAGACUUACAGGGACAGGCAUCCAUGACCCAGCAUCGAACGUGUCGGUCAUCAGCAAGUGAAUCCGGGCUUUAGCACCGGGCUAGCAGGACUCCGGUAAACCGUGCUGCAGCGGGCUAACAGGACUCCGGUAUUCAUCGCAUGACAUUUCGCCGAAGGGACAGACACAGGAACGAAGAAGGCACAUGCCGGCCAGCCUAAGUGUUCCGGAGCAGUAGCAAGCUACCAUGGCUCAGUGGAAGCACUAGGAGACAUUUCCCGGUAAGAGAGGCUACUAAGGAUAAACAACUAGAUAGUCAGAUCCCACACAUACCAAGCAUUUCAAUCAUACACACAAUAUGCUCGAUAUGUGCAAAUACAACAAGGCAUCACAACAUGACUCUACAACACAAGUACUUUAUUUAAAGGCUCAGAGAGCCAUACAUAGUAUACACACAAGUACGGGUCACAUGACCCACAUUCAAGUAAUACAAGCAUACAAGCCAACAGCGGAAGUAACUUGUCUGAGUAGAGACAACUAGUAAAAUAAAAGAGGCCUGGGUAAGCCUAGCUAUACUACAUGGUCCUUCACAAGCUCAGGAUCACCACCUGGGCCUCAGUCUACUCAUCGAUGUCAACGUCUACGAAGAACCUGUCAGAAGGGGUUGUAGCAUCUUCUGUAAAAUGUAAAUUAGAGCAACAUGAGUACAAAGGUACUCAGCAAGACUUACAUCAGAUCCUACAUACAUGCACAUUAUCAAGAAGGGUUGGUGGGGUUAUUGCAGCAAGCCAGCUUCGACUCUUGGCUAAGCUAUCCUAUGAGACUCCAACUUGAAAUGGUUUUGCACACACGAGUCCACUACUCACCACUUCAAUACACAACCGAGGAUUCACCUCCGUCUUCCUACGGAAGAGCCAUCCUCGGCACUCACAAUUAUCUUGAGGCUUUUAGUAGUUUCCAUUUACUUGUCUAUGAACUGUUAUAGGCAACACAGAAGUCCUUUACCGCGGACACGGCUAUUCGAAUAGAUCAUUUAUAACCCUGCAGGGGUGUACUUCUUCAUACAUGUUUCCACCACUUAGCAUCUGCACACGACAUGUGCUCGGCAGACUUCAAGCGAAAGCGAAAGCCUAAACACUCAAGUCUCUAGUCCAGGUUUAUCGCCUAUUCAGGUUCCAUCCGCAGGGAGUCCGUCCGAGGUUUCCACAUACGGCCCCGAACGAUGUGUAUAGGGUUCCGUGACACCAAACAGGCGCCCGGUAUACCCGGCCACGUGCCUACCGCAUCACAGCCCACCCCUUCGAUCAGCGUUGCGCACGACCUCCAGCAUACUACAAACACCAGAAACUACUUGCAACUCCUGGACAGAGGACAAGGGUGAUUAAGAAGUCGAGCAGGGUCAUAUUUCAGGGCCCAAUGCAUGGUAGUAGCUGAACCAUGGAUCACAAACACAGAACUCAGUUCCUGAGGACGGCUUCAAUGAGACAAUCCACCAUGUACUCCUACAUGGCCUCUCAUAGCUACCUUUACCAAAUCCUGUUCACACACUUAGCUCACACUCAGUAGAAUAUGUUCACGCACCUCUGAUUCAUCCCCGAUGAAUCAGACCUGACUCAACUCUAAGCAAUAGCAGGCAUGACAAACAAACAUGAAUGAGUAGGCACAACAGGGCUCAAACAACUCCUACUCAUGCUAGUGGGUUUCAUCUAUUUACUGUGGCAAUGAUAGGUCCUGCAGAGGAUAAAGGGGUUCAGCUACCGCAGCAAGUAACAGAUGAAUCAUUGCUGUCCUAAUGCAGUAAAAGAGAGCAGGAGCGAGAGAGUAGGAUUGUAUCGAAAUGAACAAGGGGGUUUUGCUUGCCUGGCACUUCUGAAGAUAGUAUACUUCUUCAUCGGUGUCAGCGAUCACAACGUCGGUACAACGUCUACCGAGGGGGAACAACACUGGCAAACAGAGAAGAAACACGAUCAAUGCAAUGCACAAUAUGAUGCCUGCUAUGACAUGGCAAUAUGAAUGUGUUUUGGGCUAAUGCAAGCUAGAACAGAUUGAGAUGAGUCCAUUUGAACCAAAGAUUCAAAUGCAAACCCAUUUUAAGAGGUCAUAAUAGUGUAUUAACUUGUUUCACCUAAACAGCAAGGUUAAUGUGUUCUAACAUGCAUGAAACCAGUGCAGAUGGAUAGAUUGGAUUUUUUUGAUCAUUUUUCAUAUAUAAAUUAUUUCAUUCUAAGUUACGGUUAAAUUUCUAUGAAUUUUAGAAGUUUAGAGCAUUUUCUGGAAUUUCCUGUAUAAAAAUAAAUCUAGAAAAUACUUAUUGCGUCAGCAUUGCGUCACUCUGACGUCAGCAGUCAACGAGGCCGGUCCAGGUCAAACCUGACGUGUGGGGUCCACACAUCAGUGACACGGUUAACCAACAGGGUUAAUUAAAAUUAAACUAAACCUAAUCUAGUUUAGUUAAGGCCUGGGCCCACAUGUCAGAGGCUAACCUAACUAACUAAGUUAAUUACCGCUCAUUAAUCUAUCGCUUAAUUAAGCAGGGGCCUGGCCCACACGUCAAUGAGUCAGGGGGAAGUCAAACCCCGGUCAAACCCGCCGGACCUGGUCCACGGCUCGUCGCCGGCGACGACAGAGACAACGAGGCGGCUCGGGAAUGCUCUACAGGGCACCGUUUUACUCGUGGUUUGCGGCUACGGCUAGCUAGCAAUGCGGCGCAUCUAAUGGAGCGAAUGGGUGGAGCUGGGGUGGCCUGAGCCGACGGCGGCGAGCUCCAAGGCGGCGGCCGGAGUUCGGGCAAUGACGGGUUUGGCGCCACAGUGCAUGGGAGGAGGAGCUGGUGGGCGCUACGGGCUCUUGGGGGUGCACUGGGUGUAGUGACGCGCUCGGUUUGGACGGAGGUGAACUAAAAUGACGACAGCGACAAGUCUGGCACCAGUGAGGUUUCGGUCUCGACGGAAACGAGGGCUACGAUGAGCUAAUGGACAUGUGAGUAGGGGGGUCAGUAAAGGAGCUUACGGCGAGUGCAGAGGUGGCCUCGGCGUGCUCGGGGAAGCACUGGAGCGAGCGGUGCGGCGAGAGGGAUCUCCGGCGGCCGGUGACGAAGAUGAUCAAGAUGGCGUCAAUCCAGGGCCUCCGGCGAUGCGUGGCUAGACGGAGAGGACGAGGGAGGCGUGGCGAUGCUCGUGGACACGUCGGAGAGGCUCGGGGUUGGCUGCGGCUGCGGCUAUGGCGAACGGCGGCGGCGGUGGCGUUCGGUGGUGAGAGGGAGAGAGAGUAGAGGAGGGGGAGGAGCAUGGGGAGAGUGAGAGAGAGCCACAGGGGUUGCGUGUCGACGUCCAUGGCAUCCAGAGGGACGUCGGGAGGCGGUGGAAAGCUGGAGGUGGCCGAGGGGCGUGGGCGUGAAUGGCGGCCACACGCCUCUCAUCCUACUGGCGAGAGGUGGGAGAUGACUGGCAGAUGGGCCUGGUGGGCUGCUACAGUGCCAGGCCGGCCAGGUAAGCGCCAGGUAUUCUCUCUCUCUCUCUCUUUUGUUAAUGUUUUUCUAUUUUUCUGUAACUUCAGGGCUUUAUUAAAAAUGCCAGGGCAUUUCCAAAAAUCAUGAAACUAAUCAUGGCUACUGUUUAGAAUAUAUCCAACAGUAAACAUUUUAGUUUAUGAUUAUUUGAGCAUUUAAAAUAUUUUAUAGCACUUAAAUGCCCAAAUGCAAAUACUAUAGGAUUUAAUUUAGAAAUCCAGAAUGGCCUAGAAAUAUGUGCAUGACAUUUGGCAGAGGUUUUCACCUUUGACCGAAAUCAUGAACUUUUCUAAAGGGCAUUUGGGAUCACUAAAAAUAUUAUUUUUUUGAACCUAGUUGAAUUCAUUUGGUGCUAGGGUUUCAACAAUCCCCAUUUCAAGUUUCAUGAAAUUUAAACAUGAUGCAUGGAUGCAAAGUCACUAGUUACGAGCAAACUCUAGGGCUGUGAUAACUCACCCCCACUAAACAAGAAUCUCGUCUUGAGAUUCAAGACGUGAGGUAAGAAGACAAAGGGGGCACAAAACCAACACAAUCUUCAUGAUCCAGGUUGCACCUCAUAAGGUUGUUGAUUCGUUGCAUACAUUGAUCUUGACAUCCUCGCUUUUGAGAUCUUCAUCCAUGCGAUGACGACGGAAAGGAACUCUACUAGGAUUGAUCUUCUCAAAGACCGAAUUAUACAAUCUCAACUCGCGGAGUGAGAUGUUGAAACACCUUGAGUUGAGACACAAAACACAUCGAGAGGGAUGGAAGAACAAACGACGGGGUUUGAUUUGGUGGGAAACAAUUCCACGCUUAGAAAGAUGGUGGAUGGUGUCAAGGUGGCGAGGAAAUAAUUGCCAUGAUCCCGUAACGGGGCACCUUAGGGAAGGUGACUCGUAGGUUUGUUACCUUAAGUGGCAAAAGGAAUUAUUUUUGAUUCAGAGAUCAUUGAAACUCUUUAUACCAGCCUAAGGCAAUUCACAACAAUCGUUUGGCAGAGUACAAAGGGAUGGCAUACCCGGACUAGAAUGGAUGAUGUGGACUACCUUGUUGAAGACAACGUAAUGAAUGCUUUUUGCUUAUCAUCGGAGGUGGAGGGGACCCAUGGUAGGACCACUUCUAAAGAUGAUCCUGAACAACAAUUGCUGAGAAGGGCAGUCCAAGGAGGAUUGGCACAAGGCGGUGCAAGCUGGGAACGAAAUGCAAAUGUCGGGAAUGUUCCAACCAUCAUAUCUGCCUGAGAUUCAGAUUUGGUUGGUGUUAGGACAUUCCAGACUCAUCAAGUCUAGGAAGAAAAAUGAAAGUUUGCAACACAAAUCGAUGAGAUGACGUCGCGAGAUUCUCGGGAGAUAAACUACGAUAGCAAGCUCCAAAACAUGAGCUGGUUCUGCUAAACAUGUGUGAACACGCUGUCCCAGACAAACAUGACCACAUAGUAGUCUUAAUAUAAAACACUACCGAGUUCAGGUGGGGAACCAUCAUUGCGGAUAACGAAGUCCUUGCAUAAGUCAUGAUUCUUAAGAAGGAGCUUCUUCUCCCUGAACAAAUCAAUCAGUGGCUUGGUGUGCUAGGGAUACGUAAGCAAUGAAGAUGAUCAGUCUAUCAGACCAUAGAAUACUUCGCACAUGCAUGACUGACUUGGGAUGAUCCCGGAGGGAACAAAACUAACUUUCUCAAAUUCACGGCGGCAACUUGCACCUAAUGCGCGUGAACUUGGAGAGAGUCACUUCUUACAUCCAAGCAUAUUCUUCAUGAACGAAACACGAAGAUAAUGCUUAUAUAGUUUCCAAUACUAGCUGAAGGUUCAACACGAAUCAUGGAAGAGAUAAAAAUGUUGCUGAUGGGCUCAACAACAAUUCAUCUAGGUUUCCAUAUAAGUGGAAUUCCACAAUUAUGUGAACAAGGCGAUAGCAUCGGUCAGACCAAAGGAUAUAACGGUGUAUGCCCGAGGAAACAACCACGGGUAAGACAACAUUACGAAUAUCGUUGGUUCUGAUUUGACUUGACAAUAGCCCAUGCUCAAAUCAGAGAUUGGUUACGAUAAUAGAUCCAACAACUGAUCACAGGGACCAAUCGAUGAAGAUAUCAUCUUUCUUCAACAUACAUACAAGAUAUCACUUAACAUGAACUAAGUCGGACAAGCUUUUAUCUUCCAACUCUCCAAGUUGAUGUAUAGCUUAACCAACUAGCUCAGGGGUAUCCAACACGGAUUCUUGGAGAAAGGGUGGUUUACAAGAAUAAACCAACUUGAUCAUGAACUCAACAUAGCGGUCAGGUGACGACCUAGUGAUACUUCCGAGAAGAUAAUCAGAAAAUCAGGAACCACCGGUAUGUUACUAAGCUCGAGAGAAAUCUUGCUUUUCAGGGCAAGACGAUAUGAUCAAAUGAGCAAGGGAUUGACAAAAUCCUAACUCAACGACCGAAGAGUGCACCGGAAAUAGGGACUAGAUAGCACAAUCAACCUUAGGGUGACGAUUCAAUAAUCAACACGCUAAGAAUGAGGUUAGCGUCCAUUUAACUACCAAGCAACGGAGUUGCUAGCAGUAUUGAUUUCACACACCAUGAUUCACUUGUCAGUAUUCCGGUUGCAACAACACGGAACCGAGGAGCGAAUGAUGAUGGCAAGAAGUAUCACUACUUCAAGAAUCCAUAAGGGAAGGUGCAAUUCUCAUGACGUUCCUGACAUAAAGUGGGUAAUACUUCAGGGUAGAACAGAACAAAAGCUGAAUUAGUAUUUGAUCUGCGAUUUACAACUGCUUUGACCCGAUCCUGGAUAUGGAUGAGGUACGGGAGUUUGUUUCUCCUAGUCAUUCUAGAAUAGAAUGGCUUGACAUACCACUAGAGUAAUAGGCAUCAAUGAACGAAUGCACGCAUACUCUUGACUAUCAAUUGAUAGAUGGGGUCGGAAUACAACUAAGGAGGGACAACCCAAACGAACUUACGAUCUUCUGAGUUGUGGAUGCACAUAUUAGUAUGUCGAGCAAAGAUCAACAUUUUUCUUCCGGAUAACCCAUGCGGAGAAGGUAGGACUGGCAGAUUCACAAUAUAGAAUCGAGAACGCAUCAAGAGCACUCUGGUUGUGAUCUUUCGGUUAAACGAGGAACUUCUGCCAUAAGUAGUUCAUGGUAUUUGGAAGAAGGAAAUACCACGGACCUCGAGGACUAAUGCAAAGGUUACUAAUUUCCUAAAGGAACUAGCAAACACUAUCAUCAUGAGUAAGUGGGGUGAAUCUCGGUUCAAGAACCCAGGAAUAGAAUACCUACUACUAAGUGGCAUCACGGGAUGCUUUCGAGAAUAAAGGCCAGAAUUAUCACACCGGGAACAAAUCAUGGCUAGAUUACUAGAUGAUCCCCUAGGACACCUAGGGUCAUAAUAAUAAUUCCAACAUAUAUGUCGAGGCAAUAGAAUACUUCAACUCAGCAAUUAGUGUGAUUAACCUGGCUCAAAGGAACAUCAAAACCAGAGGGAAAUGAUUUGCAAGUGCAUCAGAUUGUUUAGAAACCUGGGAUGACUCGGACAACAUAACGGCUGUAAAUGCUCAAAAGGAAUUUUGAGACAUUUUGCAAAGAGUUGCAUAGACACUCAACAAUAUCAUAUCAAGGUUCUGGGUCCAACUUAGCAACAUAAUAGGGUAGUAGAACUGAACUAGGCUUAUAAUCAUCAAACCAAUAAGGUACUACUGAUUAGUAACACGUGAACCUGAUAGAGAGAAAAGAUCCUAAUCCUUAACCCCCGGUGGAAGAAUGGACUGACUCAGAUCAGAAUGCCAUGAGGUAAAGAAGUAAAAAGAGCCUUACGUACCAUCCCACAAUCAAUUCCCCUACAUAUAACUAAAGCAUUUCUAGACUCAACAUCGACCAGUUUGGCUUGGUAAUCCUACAGGCAGUCAGGCUCUUAUACCAAAGCUGUCAGGUCCUGAACGAUGUGUACAGGGUUCCGUGACACCAAACGGGCGCCCGGUAUACCCGGCCACGUGCCUACCGCAUCACAGCCCACCCCUCCGGUCAGCGUUGCGCACGGCCUCCAGCAUACUACAAACACCAGAAACUACUUGCAACUCCUGGACAGAGGACAAGGGUGAUUAAGAAGUCGAGCGGGGUCAUAUUUCAGGGCCCAAUGCAUGGUAGUAGCUGAAUCAUGGAUCACAAACACAUAACUCAGUUCCUGAGGGCGGCUUCAAUGAGACAACCCACCAUGUACUCCUACAUGGACUCUCACCGCUACCUUUACCAAAUCGUGUUCACACACUUAGCUCACACUCAGUAGAAUAUGUUCACGCACCUCUGAUUCAUCCCCGGUGAAUCCGACUUAACUCAACUCUAAGCAAUAGCAGGCAUGACAAACAAACAUGAAUGAGUAGGCACAACAGGGCUCAAACAACUCCUACUCAUGCUAGUGGGUUUCAUCAAUUUACUAUGGCAAUGACAGGUCAUGCAGAGGAUAAAGGGGUUCAGCUACCGCAGCAAGUAAUAGAUGAAUCGUUGUUGUCCUAAUGCAGUGAAAGAGAACAGGAGCGAUAGAGUAGCAUUGUAUCGGAAUGAACAAGGGGGUUUUGCUUGCCUAGCACUUCUGAAGAUAGUAUACUUCUUCAUCGGUGUCAUCGAUCACAACAUCGGUACAACGUCUACCGAGGGGGAACAACACCGGCAAACAGAGAAGCAACAUGAUCAAUGCAAUGCACAAUAUGAUGCAUGCUAUGACAUGGCAAUAUGAAUGUGUUUUGGGCUAAUGCAAGCUAGAACAGAUUGAGAUGAGUCCAUUUGAACCAAAGAUUCAAAUGCAAACCCAUUUUAAGAGGUCAUAAUAGUGUAUUAACUUGUUUCACCUAAACAGCAAGGUUAAUGUGUUCUAACAUGCAUGAAACCAGUGCAGAUGGAUAGAUUGGAUUUGUUUGAUCAUUUUUCAUAUAUAAAUUAUUUCAUUCUGAGUUACGGUUAAAUUUCUAUGAAUUUUAGAAGUUUAGAGCAUUUUCUGGAAUUUCCUGUAUAAAAAUAAAUCCAGAAAAUACUUAUUGCGUCAGCAUUGCAUCGCUCUGACGUCAACAGUGAACGAGGCCAGUCCAGGUCAAACCUGACGUGUGGGGUCCACACGUCAGUGACACGGUUAACCAACAGGGUUAAUUAAAAUUAAACUAAACCUAAUCUAGUUUAGUUAAGGCCUGGGCCAACAUGUCAGAGGCUAACCUAACUAAGUUAAUUACAGCUAAUUAAUCUAUCGCUUAAUUAAGCAGGGGCCUGGCCCACACGUCAGUGAGUCAGGGGGAAGUCAAACCCCGGUCAAACGGGGUCAAACCCGCCGGACCUGGUCCACGGCUCAUCGCCGGCGACGACAGAGACGAUGGGGCGGCUCGUGAAUGCUCUACAGGGCACCGUUUUACUCAUGGUUUGUGGCUACGGCUAGCUAGCAAUGCGGCGCAUCUAAUUGAGCGAACGGGAGGAGCUAGGGUGUCCUGAGCCGACGGCGGCGAGCUCCAAGGCGGCGGCCGGAGUUCGGGCAACGACGGGUUCGGUGCCAUAGUGCAUGGGAGGAGGAGCCGGUGGGCGCUACGGGCUCCUGGGGGUGCACUGGGUGUAGUGACGCGCUCGGUUUGGACGGAGGCGAACUAAAAUGACGACGGCAACAAGUCCGGCGCCGGUGAGGUUUCGGUCUCGACGGAAACGAGGGCUACGAUGAGCUAAUGGACAUGUGAGUAGGGGGGUUAGUAGAGGAGCUUACGACGAGUGCAUAGGUGGCCUAGGCGUGCUCGGGGAAGCACCGGAGCGAGCGGUGCAGCGAGAGGGAUCUCCGGCAGCCGGCGACGAAGAUGAUGAAGAUGGCGUCGAUCCAGGGCCUCCGGCGAUGCGUUGCUGUGCGGAGAGGACUAGGGAGGCGUGGCGAUGCUCGUGGACACGUCGGAGAGGCUCGGAGUUGGCUGCGGCUGCGGCUAUGGCGAACGGCGGCGGCGGUGGCGUUCGGUGGUGAGAGGGAGAGAGAGUAGAGGAGGGGGAGGAGCAUGGGGAGAGUGAGAGAGAGCCACAGGGGUUGCGUGUCGACGUCCAGGGCAUCCAGAGCGACGUCGGGAGGCGGUGGAAAGCUGGAGGUGGCCGAGGCGCGUGGGCGUGAAUGGCGGCCACACGCCUCUCGUCCUACUGGCGAGAGGUGGGAGAUGACUGGCAGAUGGGCCUGGUGGGCUGCUACAGUGCCAGGCCGGCCAGGUAAGCGCCAGAUAUUCUCUCUCUCUCUUUUGUUAAUGUUUUUUUAUUUUUCUGUAACUUCAGGGCUUUAUUAAGAAUGCCAGGGCAUUUCCAAAAAUCAUGAAACUAAUCAUGGCUACUGUUUAGAAUAUAUCCAACAGUAAACAUUUUAGUUUAUGAUUAUUUGAGCAUUUAAAAUAUUUUAUAGCACUUAAAUGCCCAAAUGCAAAUACUAUAGGAUUUAAUUUAGAAAUCCAGAAUGGCCUAGAAAUAUGUGCAUGACAUUUGGCAGAGGUUUUCACCGUUGACAGAAAUCAUGAAAUUUUCUAAAGGGCAUUUGGGAUCACUGAAAAUAUAUAUUUUUUGAACCUAGUUGAAUUCAUUUGGUGCUAGGGUUUCAACAAUCCCCAUUUCAAGUUUCAUGAAAUUUAAACAUGAUGCAUGGAUGCAAAGCCACUAGUUACAAGCAAACUCUGGGGCUAUGACAAAAGCACUCCUACGGUAUCGGUAUCCGGGAGUUACACGAUCUCAUGGUCUAAGGAGAAGAUACUUGACACUGGAAAAGCUCUAGCAAACGAACUACACGAUCUUGUGCUAUGCUUAGGAUUGGGUCUUGUCCAUCACAUCAUUUUCCUAAUGAUGUGAUCCCGUUAUCAACGACAUCUAAUGUCCAUAGUCAGGAAACCAUGACUAUCUGUUGAUCAACGAGCUAGUCAACUAGAGGCUCACUAGGGACAUAUUAUGGUCUAUGUAUUCACACGUGUAUUACGAUUUCCGGAUAAUACAAUUAUAGCAUGAAUAAAGACAAUUAUCAUGAACAAGGAAAUAUAAUAAUAAUCCUUUUAUUAUUGCCUCUAGGGCAUAUUUCCAACAACAUAUUCUACGAAGAUCUUUAUCGGUCAAACCACAUAACAACAUAGGUUCUUCCCUUUGUCAUCGGUAUGUUACUUGCCUGAGAUUCGAUCGUCGGUAUCUCAAUACCUAGUUCAAUCUCGUUACCGGCAAGUAUGUUUACUCAUUCCAUAAUGCAUGAUCCCGCAACUAACUCAUUAGUCACAUUGCUUGCAAGGCUUAUAGUGAUGUGCAUUACCGAGAGGGCCCAGUGAUACCUCUCCGACAAUCGGAGUGACAAAUCCUAACCUCGAUCUAUGCCAACUCAACAAGUACCAUCGGAGACACCUGUAGAGCACCUUUAUAAUCCCCCAGUUACGUUGUGACGUUUGGUAGCACACAAAGUGUUCCUCUGGUAUUUGGGAGUUGCAUAAUCUCAUAGUCAUAGGAACACGUAUAAGUCAUGAAGAAAGCAAUAGCAACAAACUAAACGAUCAAGUGCUAAGCUAACGAAAUGGGUCAAGUCAAUCACAUCAUUCUCUAAUGAUGUGAUCCCGUUAAUCAAAUGACAACUGUCUAUGGUUAGGAAACACAACCAUCUUUGAUUCAACGAGCUAGUCAAGUAGAGGCAUACUAGUGACACUUUGUUUGUCUAUGUAUUCACACAUGUACUAAGUUUCCGGUUAGUACUAUUCUAGCAUGAAUAAUAAACAUUUAUCAUGAUAUAUGGAAAUAUAAAUAACAACUUUAUUAUUGCCUCUAGGGCAUAUUUCCUUCAAAAUUUAGAGAUGACAAACAAAGCUUAAGUAGCAUCUGUUCUACUUGAUUGUAGAAAUUUCUUUUACCUGUAGAAUAACUCGGUUGUUAUUUCUUUAAACAUGAAGUGUGAUAUUAACUUAUCUCAAUCUAGGAACACAAAGCAAAUAUUACAUGUGCUUCUAUGGACUCCAAGCAGAUGAGAAAUCAUUUUGUCUAGAAGUUCCUUAGAAGGAUAUAAUAGUUUUGACCUAAACAAAUUUACUAUUGUACUCGUGUCUUACAAAGUUAAAGCUGAAAAUCAACAUAACCAUUGGACCCUUUGAAAGACAAGUGUAGGAAAUAAAUAGUAGGAUAUAAAUUUGAGCAGAAUGUUUGAUCAAAUACUGAACAAAUAACCCAGCAAACUACUAAAACUCGUCUAUUCUACCUUAUAUGAACUGUCACGAUGAUAAAGCUAUGAUUUUUUUUGGCAAAUAAGUAUCCUAGAACUAAUACAAGUUCAAACAAAUCAGCCACAGAUCCCCGAGCCCAUCCAACCAGAUAGCUGAAACUGAAAGAAGCAUUAGCUCGAUUAGAGCACCUACAGCGGAACUUGACAAAUUUGACCCCUGAAACGCCCGCGGACACGCGUGUUAGUAGACAUAAACCAAUCUUUAAGCAGAGCACGUCCGGCAGUCGGAUGCUCCCCAAAGUGUUGGUCCAGUCGCCGGCAAGGUAGAGUAGGGCAUGGGAUACAAGGCGGCUCACGGGACUCGAGGCGCCACCGUCCCCCAUUCCCAACUCUUCUCAGUCGGAACCCGGACAGUGCCGGUGGACGUCAGAUCGAUGAUGGAUCCUUCCUGGGACGAGCCAGCAACAUCCACCACCACGUGGUUGUGCAGCCCGAACUAGUGCACAAUAUGGGGAGCCGGAAAAUACGACUCCGCCUCCGCAACGCCCACCACCGCGAGGGCUGUCGCUGCCUCCCGCACCCGCUGCAUUGCAUGGCAGGAGCGCCGAACUAUGUUUUGCAUCGGGCGACGCCCAUGGUGCGUCCAUGGCCUCAGUGCGCCAAUGGAGGGGCUGCGCGUCCGCCACCCAUUCAAACGCCAGAUGGACCGCACCACCUUUGUGUUGGAAAUAUGCCCUAGAGGAAAUAAUAAAAGGAUUAUUAUUGUAUUUCCUUGUUCAUGAUAAUUAUCUUUAUUCAUGCUAUAAUUGUAUUAUCCAGAAAUCGUAAUAGACGUGUGAAUACAUAGACCAUAAUAUGUCCCUAGUGAGCCUCUAGUUGACUAGCUCGUUGAUCAACAGAUAGUCAUGGUUUCCUGACUAUGGACAUUAGAUGUCGUUGAUAAUGGGAUCACAUCAUUAAGAUAAUGAUGUGAUGGACAAGACCCAAUCCUAAGCAUAGCACAAGAUCGUGUAGUUCGUUUGCUAGAGCUUUUCCAAUGUCAAGUAUCUUCUCCUUAGACCAUGAGAUCGUGUAACUCCCGGAUACCGUAGGAGUCCUUUGGGUGUACCAAACGUCACAACGUAACUGGGUGACUAUAAAGGUGCACUACAGGUAUCUCCGAAAGUGUUUGUUGGGUUGACACCGAUCGAGACUGGGAUUUGUCACUCCGUAUGACGGAGAGGUAUCGCUGGGCCCACUCGGUAGUGCAUCAUCAUAAUGAGCUCAAAGUGACCAAGUGUCUGGUCACGGGAUCAUGCAUUACGGUACGAGUAAAGUGAAUUGCCGGUAACGAGAUUGAACGAGGUAUUGGGAUACCGACGAUCGAAUCUCGGGCAAUUAAAAUACCGAUUGACAAAGGGAAUUGAAUACGUGGUUGCUUGAAUCCUCGACAUCGUGGUUCAUCCGAUGAGAUCAUCGAGGAGCAUGUGGGAGCCAACAUGGGUAUCCAGAUCCCGCCGUUGGUUAUUGACUGGAGAGCCGUCUCAGUCAUGUCUACGUGUCUCCCGAAUCCGUAGGGUCUACACACUUAAGGUUCGGUGACGCUAGGGUUGUAGAGAUAUGAGUAUGCAGCAAACCGAAAGUUGUUCGGAGUCCCGGAUGAGAUCCCGGACAUCACGAGGAGUUCCGAAUGGUCCGGAGAUAAAGAAUUAUAUAUAGGAAGUGCAUUUUCAGCGAUCGGGAGAGUUUCGGGGGUCACCGGUAUUGUACCGGGACCACCGGAAGGGUCCCGGGGGUCCACUGGGUGGGGCCACCUAUCCCGGAGGGCCCCGUGGGCUGAAGUGGGGAGGGGACCAGCCCAUAGUGGGCUGGUGCGACCCCCUUGCCCCACCUACGCCUAGGGUUGGAAACCCUAGGGUGGGGGGCGCCUCCACUUGCCUUGGGGGGCACUCCACCCCCCUGGCCGCCGCCCCCUUGGGAGAUCCCAUCUCCAGGGCCGGCGCCCCCCCAGGGGGCCUAUAUAAAGGAGGGGGAGGGGAGGGCAGCCGCACCCUGAAGUCUUGGCGCCUCCCUCCCCCCUUGCUACACCUCCUCCUCCCGUAGUCGCUUGGCGAAGCCCUGCCGGAACUCUGCUGUAUCCACCACCACGCCGUCGUGCUGCUGGAUCUUCAUCAACCUCUCCUUCCCCCUUGCUGGAUCAAGAAGGAGGAGACGUCACGCUGACCGUACGUGCGUUGAACGCGGAGGUGCCGUCCGUUCGACGCUAGGAUCUCUGGUGAUUUGGAUCACGACGAGUACGACUCCCUCAACCCCGUUCUCUUGAACGCUUCCGCUCGCGAUCUACAAGGGUAUGUAGAUGCACUCCCCUCUCUCGUUGCUAGAUGAACUCAUAGAUUGAUCUUGGUGAACGUAGGAAAUUUUUUAUUUUAUGCAACGUUCCCCAACAGUGGCAUCAUGAGCUAGGUCUAUGCGUAGUUCUCUAUUGCACGAGUAGAACACAAAUCUGUUGUGGGCGUAGAUGUUGUCAACUUUCUUGCCACUACUAGUCUUAUUUUGCUUCAGCGGUAUUGUGGGAUGAAGUGGCCCGGACCGACCUUACACGUACGCUUACGUGACACAGGUUCCACCGACUGACAUGCACUAGUUGCAUAAGGUGGCUAGCGGGUGUCUGUCUCUCCCACUUUAGUUGGAGCGGAUUCGAUGAAAAGGGUCCUUAUGAAGGGUAAAUAGAAGUUGACAACUCACGUUGUGGCUUUUUUGUUGGUAAGAAAACAUUCUUGCUAGAACCCUAUUGCAGCCACGUAAAAGAUGCAACAACAAUUAGAGGACGUCUAACUUGUUUUUGAAGCAAUUGCCUUGUGAUGUGAUAUGGCCAAAAGUUGUGAUGAAUGAUGAAUGAUAUAUUGUGAUGUAUGAGAUCAUGUUCUUGUAAUAGGAAUCACGACUUGCAUGUCGAUGAGUAUGAAAACCGGCAGGAGCCAUAGGAGUGGUCUUAAUUAUUGUAUGACCUGCGUGUCAAUGAUUUAACGCCAUGUAAUUACUUUACUUUAUUGCUAAACCGUUAGCCAUAGUAGUAGAAGUAAUAGUUGGCGAGCAACUUCAUGGAGGCACGAUGAUGGAGAUCAUGAUGAUGGAGAUCAUGGUGUCAUGCCGGUGACAAAGAUGAUCAUGGAGCCCCGAAGAUGGAGAUCAAAGGAGCUAUAUGAUAUUGGCCAUAUCAUGUCACUACUAUAUAAUUGCAUGUGAUGUUUAUUAUGUUUAUGCAUCUUCUUUACUUAGAACGACUGUAGUAAAUAAGAUGAUCCCUUAUAAUAAUUUCAAGAAAGUGUUCUCCCUAACUGUGCGUCGUUGCUAAAGUUCGUCGUUUCGAAGCACCACGUGAUGAUCGGGUGUGAUAGAUUCCUACGUUCACAUACAACGGGUGUAAGACAGUUUUACACAUGCAAAACACUUAGGUUAAACUUGACGAGCCUAGCAUGUAUAUACAUGGCCUCAGAACACAGAGACCGAAAGGUCGAACAUGAGUCAUAUGGAAGAUACGAUCAACAUGGAGAUGUUCACCAAUGAUGACUAGUCCGUCUCACGUGAUGAUCGGACACGUCCUAGUCGACUCGGAUCGUGUAACACUUAGAUGACUAGAGGGAUGUCAAAUCUGAGUGGGAGUUCACUAAAUUAGAUGAACUUAAUUAUCAUGAACUUAGUCUAAAAUCUUUGCAAAAAUGUCUUGUAGAUCAAAUGGCCAACGCUCAUGUCAACAUGAACUUCAACGAGUUCCUAGAGAAAACCAAGCUGAAAGAUGAUGGCAGCAACUAUAUGGACUGGGUCCAGAACCUGAGGAUCAUCCUCAUAGCUUCCAAGAAAGCAUAUGUCCUAGAAGGACCACUAGGUGAUGCACCCAUCCCAGAGAACCAAGAUGUUAUGAACGCUUGGCAGUCACGUGCUGAUGAUUACUCCCUCGUUCAGUGCGGCAUGCUUUACAGCUUAGAACCGGGUCUCCAAAAGCGUUUUGAGAAACACGGAGCAUAUGAAAUGUUCGAGGAGCUGAAAAUGGUUUUCCAAGCUCAUGCCCGGGUCGAGAGAUAUGAAGUCUCCGACAUGUUCUAUAGUUGUAAGAUGGAGGAAAAUAGUUCUGUCAGUGAGCACAUACUCAAAAUGUCUGGGUUGCACAACUGCCUAACCCAGCUGGACAUCAACCUCCCGGACGAGGCGGUCAUUGACAGAAUCCUUCAGUCGCUCCCACCAAGCUACAAGAGAUUUGUGAUGAACUACAAUAUGCAGGGGAUGGUGAAAACUAUUCCUGAAGUAUUUUCAAUACUGAAGUCUGCAGAGGUAGAAAUCAAGAAAGAACAUCAAGUGUUGAUGGUCAAUAAAACCACCAAGUUCAAGAAGGGCAAGGGUAAGAAAAACUUCAAGACGGACGGCAAGGAUGUUGCCGCACCCGGUAGGCCAGUUGCCGGGAAGAAGUCAAAGAAUGGACCCAAGCCUGAGACUGAGUGCUUUUAUUGCAAAAGGAAGGGUCACUGGAAGCGGAACUGCCCCAAAUAGUUAGCGGACAAGAAGGCCGGCAACACUAAAGGUAUAUGUGAUAUACAUGUAAUUGAUGUGUACCUUACCAGUACUCGUAGUAACUCCUGGGUAUUUGAUACCGGUGCCGUUGCUCAUAUUUGUAACUCACAGUAGGAGCUGCGGAAUAAGCGGAGACUGGCGAAGGACGAGGUGACGAUGCGCGUCGGGAAUGGUUCCAAGGUCGAUGUGAUUGCCGUCGGCACGCUGCCUCUACAUUUACCCACGGGAUUAGUUUUAAACCUCAAUAAUUGUUAUUUAGUGCCAAGUUUGAGCAUGAACAUUGUAUCUGGAUCUCGUUUAAUACGAGAUGGCUACUCAUUUAAAUCCGAGAAUAAUGGUUGUUCUAUUUAUAUGAGAGAUAUGUUUUAUGGUCAUGCCCCGAUGGUCAAUGGUUUAUUCUUAAUGAAUCUCGAACGUAAUGUUACACAUAUUCAUAGUGUGAAUACCAAAAGAUGUAAAGUUGAUAACGAUAGUCCCACAUACUUGUGGCACUGCCGCCUUGGUCAUAUUGGUGUCAAGCGCAUGAAGAAGCUCCAUGAUGAUGGACUUUUAGAGUCUGUCGAUUAUGAAUCAUUUGACACAUGCGAACCAUGCCUCAUGGGCAAAAUGACCAAGACUCCGUUCUCCGGAACAAUGGAGCGAGCAACCAACUUAUUGGAAAUCAUACAUACUGAUGUGUGUGGUCCAAUGAGCGUUGAGGCUCGCGGAGGAUAUCAUUAUGUUCUCACUCUCACUGAUGACUUGAGUAGAUAUGGGUAUGUCUACUUGAUGAAACACAAGUCUGAGACCUUUGAAAAGUUCAAGGAAUUUCAGAAUGAGGUAGAGAAUCAACAUGACCGAAAGAUAAAGUUCCUACGAUCAGAUCGUGGAGGAGAAUAUUUAAGUCACGAAUUUGGUACGCACUUAAGGAAAUGUGGAAUCAUUCCACAACUCACGCCGCCUGGAACACCUCAGCGUAACGGUGUGUCCGAAUGUCGUAAUCGCACUCUAUUGGAUAUGGUGCGAUCUAUGAUGUCUCCUACCGAUUUACUGCUAUCAUUUUGGGGAUACGCUCUAGAGACAGCUACAUUCACUUUAAACAGGGCUCCGUCUAAAUCCGUUGAGACGACACCGUAUGAAUUAUGGUUUGGGAAGAAACCUAAGCUAUCGUCUCUAAAAGUUUGGGGAUGCGAUGCUUAUGUCAAGAAACUUCAACCUGAAAAGCUCGAACCCAAGUCGGAAAAAUGCGUCUUCAUAGGAUACCCUAAGGAAACCAUUGGGUAUACCUUCUACUUAAGAUCCGAGGGCAAGAUCUUUGUAGCCAAGAACGGAUCCUUUCUGGAAAAAGAGUUUCUCUCGAAAGGAGUAAGUGGGAGGAAAGUAGAACUCGAUGAAGUAGUACCUCUUGAACCGGAAAGUAGUGGAGCUCAGGAAAAUGUUCCUGUGGUGCCUACACCGACUAGAGAGGAAAUUAAUGAUGAUGAUCACAGUACUUUGGAUCAAGUUGCUACUGAACUUCGUAGGUCCACAGGGACACAUUCCAAACCAGAGUGGUAUGGCAACCCUGUCCUGGAAAUCAUGUUUUUAGACAACGGUGAACCUUCGAACUAUGAAGAAGCGAUGGCGGGCCCAGAUUCCAACAAAUGGCUUGAAGGCAUGCAAUCCGAGAUAGAAUCCAUGUAUGAAAACAAAGUAUGGACUUUGACAGACUUGCCCGAUGAUCAGCGAGCGAUAGGAAACAAAUGGAUCUUUAAGAAGAAGACAGACGCGGAUGGUAAUGUUACCAUCUAUAAAGCUCGACUUGUCGCUAAGGGUUAUCGGCAAGUUCAAGGGGUUGACUACGAUGAAACUUUCUCUCCCGUAGCAAAGCUGAAGUCCGUCUGAAUCAUGUUAGCAAUUGUCGCAUACUAUGAUUAUGAGUUAUGGAAGAUGGACGACAAAACGGCAUUCCUUAACGGGCAUCUUAAGGAAGAACUGUAUAUGAUGCAGCCGGAGGGUUUUGUCGAUCCUAAGAAUGAUAAUAAGGUAUGCAAGCUCCAGCAAUCCAUUUAUGGGCUGGUGCAAGCAUCUCGGAGUUGGAACAUUCGCUUUGAUGAGAUUUUCAAAGCGUUUGGGUUUAUGAAGACUUAUGGAGAAGCCUGCGUUUACAAGAAAGUGAGUGGGAGCUCUGUAGCAUUUCUCAUAUUAUAUGUAGAUGACAUACUUUUGAUGGGAAAUGAUAUAAAACUUUUGGACAGCAUUAAGGCCUACUUGAAUAAGUGUUUUUCAAUGAAGGACCUUGGAGAAGCUGCUUACAUAUUAGGCAUCAAGAUCUAUAGGGAUAGAUCGAGACGCCUCAUAGGUCUUUCACAAAGCACAUACCUUAAUAAAAUAUUGAAGAAGUUUAAAAUGGAUCAGUCCAAGAAAGGGUUCUUGCCUGUAUUGCAAGGUGUGAAGUUGAGCUUGGCUCAAUGCCCGACCACGGCAGAAGAUAAAGAAGAGAUGAGUGUCAUCCCCUAUGCCUCAACCAUAGGAUCUAUUAUGUAUGCCAUGUUGUGCACCAGACCUGAUGUAAACCUUGCCGUAAGUUUGGUAGGAAGGUACCAAAGUAAUCCCGGCAAGGAACACUGGACAGCGGUCAAGAAUAUCCCGAAGUACCACAAAAGGACAAAGGACAUGUUUCUCGUUUAUGGAGGUGACAAAGAGCUCGUCGUAAAGGGUUACGUCGAUGCUAGCUUCGACACAGAUCUGGAUGACUCUAAGUCACAAACCGGAUACGUGUAUAUGUUGAAUCGUGGAGCAGUAAGCUGGUGCAGUUGCAAGCAGAGCGUCGUGGCGGGAUCUACAUGUGAAGCGGAGUACAUGGCAGCCUCGGAGGUAGCGCAUGAAGCAAUAUGGAUGAAGGAGUUCAUCACCGACCUAGGAGUCAUACCCAAUGCGUCGGGGCCAAUCACUCUCUUCUGUGACAACACUGGAGCUAUUGCCCUUGCCAAGGAGCCCAGGUUUCACAAGAAGACCAGGCACAUCAAGCGUCGUUUCAACUCCAUUCGUGAAAAUGUUCAAGAUGGAUACAUAGAUAUUUGCAAAGUACAUACGGAUCUGAAUAUCGCAGAUCCGUUGACUAAACCUCUUCUGCGAGCAAAACAUGAUCAACACCAGAACUCUAUGGGUGUUCGAUUCAUCACAAUGUAACUAGAUUAUUGACUAUAGUGCAAGUGGGAGACUGUUGGAAAUAUGCCCUAGAGGCAAUAAUAAAAGGAUUAUUAUUAUAUUUCCUUGUUCAUGAUAAUUGUCUUUAUUCAUGCUAUAAUUGUAUUAUCCGGAAAUCGUAAUACACGUGUGAAUACAUAGACCAUAAUAUGUCCCUAGUGAGCCUCUACUUGACUAGCUCGUUGAUCAACAUAUAGUCAUGGUUUCCUGACUAUGGACAUUAGAUGUCGUUGAUAAUGGGAUCACAUCAUUAGGAGAAUGAUGUGAUGGACAAGACCCAAUCCUAAGCAUAGCACAAGAUCGUGUAGUUCGUUUGCUAGAGCUUUUCCAAUGUCAAGUAUCUUCUCCUUAGACCAUGAGAUCGUGUAACUCCCGGAUACCGUAGGAGUGCUUUGGGUGUACCAAACGUCACAACGUAACUGGGUGACUAUAAAGGUGCACUACAGGUAUCUCCGAAAGUGUAUGUUGGGUUGACACGGAUCGAGACUGGGAUUUGUCACUCCGUAUGACGUAGAGGUAUCUCUGGGUCCACUCGGUAGUGCAUCAUCAUAAUGAGCUCAAAGUGACCAAGUGUCUGGUCACGGGAUCAUGCAUUACGGUACGAGUAAAGCGACUUGCCGGUAAAGAGAUUGAACAAGGAAUUGGGAUACCGAUGAUCGAAUCUCGGGCAAGUAAAAUACCGAUUGACAAAGGGAAUUGAAUACGGGGUUGCCUGAAUCCUCGACAUCGUGGUUCAUCCGAUGAGAUCAUCGAGGAGCAUGUGGGAGCCAACAUGGGUAUCUAGAUCCCGCUGUUGGUUAUUGACCGGAGAGCCAUCUCGGUCAUGUCUACGUGUCUCCCGAACCCGUAGGGUCUACACACUUAAGGUUCGGUGACGCUAGGGUUGUAUAGAUAUGAGUAUGCAGCAAACUGAAAGUUGUUCGGAGUCCCGGAUGAGAUCCCGGACGUCACGAGGGGUUCCGGAAUGGUCCGGAGAUAAAGAAUUAUAUAUAGGAAGUGCAGUUUCGGCCAUCGGGAGAGUUUCGGGGGUCACCGGUAUUGUACCGGGACCACCGGAAGGGUCCCUGGGGUCCACCGGGUGGGGCCACCAAUCCCGGAGGGCCCCGUGGGCUGAAGUGGGGAGGGGACCAGCCCCUGGUGGGCUGGUGCGCCCCCCUUGGGCCCCCCCUCCCGCGCCUAGGGUUGGAAACCCUAGGGUGGGGGGGGCGCCUCCACUUGCCUUGGAGGGCACUCCACCCCCUGGCCGCCGUCCCCUUGGGAGAUCCCAUCUCUAGGGCCGGCUCCCCCCCAGGGGUCCUAUAUAAAGGAGGGGGAGGGGAGGGCAGCCGCACCCUGAAGUCUUGGCGCCUCCCUCCCCCCUUGCUACACCUCCUCCUCCCGUAGUCGCUUGGCGAAGCCCUGCCGGAACUCUGCUGCAUCCACCACCACGUCGUCGUGCUGCUGGAUCUUCAUCAACCUCUCCUCCCCCCUUGCUGGAUCAAGAAGGAGGAGACGUCACACUGACCGUACGUGUGUUGAACGCGGAGGUGCCGUCCGUUCGGCGCUAGGAUCUCCGGUGAUUUGGAUCAUGACGAGUACGACUCCCUCAACCCCAUUCUCUUAAACGCUUCCGCUCGCGAUCUACAAGGGUAUGUAGAUGCACUCCCCUCUCUUGUUGCUAGAUGAACUCAUAGAUUGAUCUUGGUGAACGUAGGAAAUUUUUAUUUUAUGCAACGUUCCCCAACACUUUGGUGAGGCGGUGAUGGUACACCUAGCGCCGGAUCCAUGCAUCAUUUGGGCGGACGCAUUGGAUUCCCCGCGGAAGGAGUUCGAGUGUUGCCGUUGCCAUCGGGCAGCCUCCUCCCGGGAGCGGUGGAGCGCAAGCUGGAUGGCCAGCUCCUCCUAGGAGCCGCGUGGGAUGAGUUCGGGGUUGACGGAUCUGGAGGUGUAACACUGGGAUCCGCCUCCUGCCAUGCCGAAGAAGGCCAUAAGAUCGUCGAACGGGAGCUUGGGUGGCGGCAUAGAGUGGAGUAAAGUGGCUAGGGUUUGGUCCGGCAAGCGGAUGGGGAGGAAUAUAUGUGGGGUCGGGUGGGCCAGCGUGGACCGGGACCGACAUGGCGGACGCGCCUGGGCGCCGCAUAUUCUUCCUAGAUUUGGGCUGGAUAUCAGGGGUGCUGGUUAGCUUGGGCGUUUGAGGCCCAUCUGGAUAGUUUUUCUGUGACCUGACCGUUCGUCCGGGCGUUUGAGGUGGGUUUGGGACGCCCAGGUGUAAAUGCUCUUAGACCAUGUAGUACCUUGAGGAGGAUGGUGGGUCCAUGGAACAACUACAGCCUCUCCAUUUUGUUUGGGCGCAGGGCGAUAACGGAGUUAUCUCUACUCCUAAAGAGGGAGUCGUUAGUCUCCCUUCCACGGUUUUUUUGUCUUACCUCCCAUCUUUGUUUCAUUUUUUCCGUCUCUUUUUCCACCACCGUCUGUUUUUUCUCAUCUCCACCUGGCAUGUAACGAAAAAAAAUCUGUUUCAUAGGUCGAUUGUCAAGGUCCGAGAGCCGCCGCCACCUUCAUUGCGGACCUCUAGGUCGCCGUCCGGACACACCGCCGAGGUCCGCAAUCACCGACGUUGAGGUCCGAGAGGAGCUGCCGCCCCCUUCAUUCUGGGCCUGGACGCUUCAUGGUCCUCCUACCUCUCCCUUUCCUCUCCCCUUCUCUCCCGCUUCCAUCCUCACUCGCCGCCCCUGCCUCUCNNNNNNNNNNNNNNNNNNNNNNNNNNNNNNNNNNNNNNNNNNNNNNNNNNNNNNNNNNNNNNNNNNNNNNNNNNNNNNNNNNNNNNNNNNNNNNNNNNNNNNNNNNNNNNNNNNNNNNNNNNNNNNNNNNNNNNNNNNNNNNNNNNNNNNNNNNNNNNNNNNNNNNNNNNNNNNNNNNNNNNNNNNNNNNNNNNNNNNNNNNNNNNNNNNNNNNNNNNNNNNNNNNNNNNNNNNNNNNNNNNNNNNNNNNNNNNNNNNNNNNNNNNNNNNNNNNNNNNNNNNNNNNNNNNNNNNNNNNNNNNNNNNNNNNNNNNNNNNNNNNNNNNNNUCUCUCUCUCUCUCUCUCUCUCUCUUGUUUCCUACCCCACUGGUUCUACAAUGCUGGUCGUCGCCUUGGGUUGGCGAACCUAGCUACUGUGGGUUGGGAUUCAAAUGCCACAUCAUCUUUGGGACGCGGCCGUGACGGCUUGGCCUGAUGCCUGCGAAGUAGGGCGAGCAGAGACAACAUGAGACUGCGCCGCUGUGCUGUUCGCCGUGACGCGCUGUCACGCUGUGUAGAUGGAGGAUGCGUGCCCAAGCCUUGUUGUGCCUGUCUUCCCGUGCGGUAGUCGGGAUCUGGACUGGAUCGGGGUUGAGUUCGACACCACCGAACCCCGGCUUCCAGGAGACCAGGCGCCUCCUCUCCUCAUCACCCGUCUCACCAGAGGCAUGUGCAGAAUUCCGUACACCAUCUGCGCAAACAUGGUGGUCGACGACGCUCUGGAUGUGGUCUACGUGAGGACUAGGUUCCAUCAUUAACAUGUACCCUGGCAAGGUAUGUGCUAUGGGAUGUAAACUCUCGAUUUUAUCUUCAUUUUAGUUGCCUUCAUCUCAUGCUUUGUUCGUUCCAUAGGCAUUUGUCAUGAAUCUAUUUUCAGGAGGGUGAUGUUAACGAUUUCAAAAACUUGAUAGCAGGGUAUGGCUAUAGUUAUUGGUCAUGCAUUAUCGCGAGGCUUGACAAGCAUACCAUAAAAUGGUUUUUAUUUAUGCUCUCGUAGGUUAAACCAAUCUCUGUCAUUAUGAAAUUGGCAUAGCUGAACAUGAUCAGGACUUCAGCAGGGCAGGGUCAUUACUUUGGAGUUUCAGCACUCAUAGUUGGUGAGUGCUUAUGUCCUAAAAUUUUGGAUGUGACUAAACAUAGGCUGGUAUGGCUAAUCUUUUUUGCUUUUCUGUCCUUGCUCUUCACGGAAUCUUCAGGUUUACGGAUUGAUAAUUGUGAUCUAUGUUUCAACCACUUCCCAAUGUUUUACUUGAUGAGAAGGUUCUAAUUUUAUUUUAUUUUAUUUCACUUGAUGAGAAGGGUCCAUGUUUCACCGACUUUGUACAAGUGUGUUUGCUUAGCUAGAUUUCUGCCCUUAUUUUCUAUUUGACAUCCCUCAAUCAUUUUCUGCAGAUUCACUUCGUUCGUAUUCUAUAUUGUUGUAAGUGCACCUAGGGAUAUUAUAGUAGUUCUUAUCUGCAGUUUACUACAACUGGUGACCACAUCUCCAUAUUAUUAUCUUUAAAAUGUACUUUCAAAAAGUAAACUAAUUAACGUUAACCUUCCGCUCUGUAGAAACCACAUAAUUUCAACUCAUUAAUCAUUUUUUAGCGGAAAGGCAGUAAUCAAUGAUGGCGAUUUAAACUGUACUCCUUAUAGUAUUGAUAUUCCCCAUGCACCGGUAUGUUCUCGUACAUCCGUGAAACUUCUGAGUCAAAAUGUUAUAUCCUUAUGUAUACAGUUCAUCAUUGGUUGUUACAGAAUUUCCCAGUGGGCACAACCUCAACCCACACCUCCCACCAGGAUCUUCUCUCUGCCGGAGCCAUCCUACCUGCAGCCAGCUCCCCCUCGUACGCCCUGAUCUCCACCUUGUGUGCUGGUCCAUUCAUCAUAGCUAGAAGGUAAUGACUAAUGAGCAUGUCAUCUCUGCCCCUCUCAAUUUCAUCCUUGUGUUGUUUAUUUUUCAGAGAAUGUGGUAUUAUGUAGCCCCUCUCUGUUGAUGAAUUGAAUGUAUAGAUUAUAUACUAGCAAAAGAGCCCGUGCGUUGCAACGGGAUAAUAAAACCGACGAAUUGUACUCGUGUGACUUGAGCUUUGGUUGGUUUCACACGCUUAUACUUCUUAGUUUUCUUGUAAAAUAAUAUGGCGGUAUUUAUACUAUUCAGGGUUGGUUAUCCAUCCGUCAGGUUAUUCAGGGCGUAAAUUUACGGAAAGAAGCAUAUUGUGACGGUGAAUGCGACGGAGUCAAUCCGUGCUUUAUUAUUUGGAAAAGAGAAAUAUGCCUAUGCAUUGCUACGGCUCUAGAAUAAACCUAUACAUGGUCAAAAUACAGGACAGCAACAUGUCUUCUUUUAGUUUUUUUCAAACCAUUAGAAAUAUGUUAGAUUUUACUUAAGUUUAGUUCCCUUAUUCCACCAUAAAGCAUUCCGGUUGAAAAGGAGAUGGCGUCUGUCAUUUACUUUCUAGAAAAACAUAGAGUCGAUAAACUUUCCUGUAUCUUCAGCCAUAGGUCCUUUACUCAUAUUUAAAAAAUUGUAAUAUUUAAUCCAAGCAAAAUUAUAUGAAUUACAGGAAAAAUUGUACUCAUGUGACUUGAGCUUUGGUUGGUUUCACACGCUCAUACUUCUUAGUUUUUUUGUAAAAUAAUACGGCGGUAUUUAUACUAUUCAGGGUUGGUUAUCCAUCCGUCAGGUUAUUCUUGAAGCUAGCUAGUAAUCACCAUGAGUUCAGUUGGCGUUCCAAGUAAUCACCAAGCCAAUCGACCGUGAGCAUCCGGACGUUAGCUGCGAAUGACAGACGGCUGGAUGGGCUAAUGAAGAUUAAACCUCAAUUUUGUACGCGGUAGUGCUGCAGACCUUCUGCAGUGAGACUUCGAUCAGAAGGACUUACCAGACAGGGGCACGGAGGAUUUAGAUAUCCUACUGCAGCUGCCGCUGCUCACCAAGGAGUUGCUCCCGUGCCGCUCGAAGGUCGCCAGCUCGGGGCAGAGCAGGAGCUUAAAGGCCAUGGACACGCCAGACCUGAAGGACGGCAGUGGCAAGGGUGGCGCAGGUGGGCGACGUUGCUCGCGCUCGGGGCGGACGCCGGCGGCGCUCGAUCUUGCCUAGAGCACGGAGGGGACAGGGGAGCAGGGGAAGAGGUAGGCAGUAAACCAGAUAGGAAUGGCACAUGUAUCGCAUCUGCCCUCGGCGGAGCUCCGCUCUGUCGUCAACAUCCGCGACGGACCCCACGAAGCCCAUCAUGUCGGCGUCCUUGAGGAACCGCCCCUGCUUGCCGCGGCCGACCGCAAUUUCGGAGAAAUUGGAGAUGGGGGAUCGUCCGCGGUUCGGCAACGGGUACGGGGAGGAGUCCGGGGCAAAGACUGUUCCGCUCGACCGGCCGGAGGAGCGCAGCCGCUCCGGUGGCCAGAGAUCGAGGGGGUGGCGGCGGUGUCCAACCCCCAACAGGCUGUGUUCUUUUUCUGACGGGACGAAAAAGGGGAAUCCCUUCUCUGGAACCGCUGUCGUUGCUCGACUGUGCUCCAAGCCGCCGCCGCCACCGCCGUCGCCUGAUUGCUCUCUCCCCGUCAACCCCCCCUCUCUCUCGAUCCAGCGACGCGUGUUUAGAUCGAAGCCCCCUGAAUUCCACGACCGAUCUGAUUCUAUCGAUCGAGGCAGCUCUGUUUCGAUUUGUAUAUGUACUUUUUAGGAGGAGUGUCCCGUGUUUGUUUCUGAUAGCCAUCUAUUUGUUUUAUGCUCAACAGGCCCAUUAGCCCUUGAUCUGGCCCAGGGAGUCUAGCGACCCAGGGAGUCUAGCGGGGAAGAGAGCGGGUGCGACCGAUUGGAUGCACACGACGUGGUUGGCCAUCUGAAUUAGUACCACCUUGAAUAUAUUUUAAAAUUAAAAUUGAAAACGUAAAAUCACGGAAAGAAGCGCAUUGUGACGGUGAAUCCGGAGACCCAAUCCAUGCUUUAUUAUUAGGGAGAGAUUACUAAAGAAAUCCGCCUUAAAAGGCGUUCCACUAAAAACGCAGUAGGAUCCUAUUUCAAGUUCCUUGCACUUAAACCGCAAAAGGGAAAGGCAAUUUUCCUAACUUUUCCCGUUAACGCAGAGCAGUCAGAUGAAUAACAGUAGGAUUGUUCAGUUUGUAUGCUCGUCCACUACUUCGGUUUAUUCAGGUUGCAUGAUACAGUAAUUUUGCAAAUGUGUCAGACUAUCUAUUUAGAUUAGCUAAUAGAAUUUAUUUCCACUAUGUGUUGUGCGGAGGAUAGAUCAGCAGGACUAAACAAUAUGUGUCUAACACCAUUUGCACAAUUCCCUUAAACUGCCCGCAGUAGCUGACCAAGUACCACCAAUGUUGUCAUCAGUCUUGAAGGGGAUUCAAAACCCGGUAGGAUCGCACACCGUAUGGCUUGGACAUCGGAAGAAGAUGCAAGAUUGGUAAUGAGAUUACUUGCCUCAGUGCUCAAUUUAUGAUCCUAUUCAUUUGAACUGAUUUACUUGUUUGUCUCAGCUAAUCUAUCCUCAAACGCAGACAACCAUUUGGUCGAAAACCUCAAAUGUUUCCAUCGAGAUAAUAACAAGAAGAACAUCAAGUACUGGGAUGACAUUGUUGUUACAACAAUAGUAAUAGGCCAAGUCACCGGAAGGGAGAUGCUCGUCGUGUAUGAUGGACAUGGUGGCUCGGAGGUGAGGUUAUCUUCUCUUGAAAAUCUUGACCUAGACAAAAGAAAUUAACCUUGAGGCCAUGGGAAGCAGGAAAGCGAAGGUCACGAAUGGCCGCACAAUUUGGUGGUGUUUGUGUGUUGUGCGGUCAAGCCUUUCUACGGGCUCCAUGGUGAUGCAGCAGCAUCACCUUCUUACGGAGAUGAGAUGAUGGGAUGAGGCCGCAUGGUGUUACCUAUUGUUGUUGUGUUAGCUUUGCUGUGUAUGUGUGCGUGUGAGAGAGAUCAGCGGCUGAUUGGGGAUGGUUAUGUUGUUGCUAGAUUAUAAAACAUGUCGUUUAAGUGAAUAUCAACUGUCGGAAAGAAAGCAAUGGUACUGUGAUUCUACUGUUUUAUGCUAGACGUUAAAGAAUACUACUUGCAAGCAGUUAGCGACGAACUGAGGGUUUGCAAGUAGUACUUUUUCCCAGUUGUGCUUCUACUUGCCUGAAUUUAAGUAGGAGAAAUUACCAGUUGUGUUUUUUUGAAAUAAUCUUGAUUUAACUAUGAUUUUCAGAAACUGGUACAGCUUUAACACGGUUCCUUGCUCACUGUGGUACAUUAAAACAAUAAAUUGAGGAGUUUAGAGCCUGCCUAGAGACCUCACAUAGCACCGCCUCAUUUGGCAGCGACAUCAUGAUGAUCUUGUCUGGUCUACUCCAAGUCUCCGCUUGUGGUUUGUGUUGGAAAUAUGAGCAAUUUACCGAAUGAUUUUAUUAACAAAAAUACUAGAUAAAGCAUGACUAAAAUAGGAAAUAUAAAGAAAGUCAUGCAGUCUGACAGAGAGAAGGUAAACAUCGUCUGCAUAAAUGAACUUGAGCUAAACACAUCUAGAACAGACAAUAGAUGAAGUUGCUCAUACGAAACAGAACCUAACAUACGUAGGGCAGAAACUAGAGCCAAGAACUGUAGCAGGACUUCUAACAGAAAGGAGAAGAACACGUACGGCAUAGCAGCAGCAGAAGAGCUGGACUUGGGGUCAGUGUCCUCGCCUGCCAUGUCGUCGAGGAGGUCGUGGACGUCGGGGAAGAAGUCGUCGUCGGGGAAGUAGUCGUCGGCGACCGGAUCGUCUGUGAUGAAGCAGCCAGUAGUCGCGCUGAGCGCUUCCCAAAAACCUUAUCACCCUUCUCCCGUACAUGACUCAAAAGGUGCGGUCUCUGAGGCCUACUGUCCCAACAUGCGGUGCACGCCGCAAGUCGGGAUGAGGAAGACAGCAGCAGCUCAGAGAUGGAACCGAUGGCGAGGGAAGGAGCAGUUCUGGUGCGUAUCUCUGAAAGGAGCGACCUCCCUUUUAUAGGCGCAAGAGAAGGAGGCGAGAGGCUGCGCCGGGAGCUGAAGGGAAUGUGGGAGACGAAACGAACAAGCAGCAGCUGAAGGGGCGCGCCGUUCGGAUUCAGUGUCCAGGCACAGAAAAAAACUGUUUCAGCUUCCGAGUGACCUUUCGUAUACACGUAGUGCGUGGCAAAACUUUAGACAUCGGCUCAUUCCCGCAACCCGCGGCGUGACGAGGCGGGCGGCGGAGGAGGAGCGCGCGUGGAUGUCCCUCUUGUUCUCAUGCUCAUACAAGUGGGGAAGGAGUCUCCCUUAUAAAGAGGUCCAACUCCCUCUAAACUAGCAAGGUGGGACUAAACUUUAGUUCCACCUCUUACCUUGCAUGAAUGGGCUGCGUGGGCCUCUAGGAUUUAUUAGGAAUUUCUGAAACUGCUAUUGGGCUAGGCCCAAAUAGACAAAAAUUCCAGCAGUUUGUGUUCUUUAGGUCUAUGGAAAACACCACGGUGCAUGCCAUUGUCCGUCAUUUCGGGAAAAAUGACCUAGAACAUGCAGAUAACUAAAUUUGGUGAAAGAACUGAAGAAAUCUACUACAUCACAAUAUGAAUUAAAAACAAACAAAAAAUUGGGCAGGACCUCUACAUAAAAAUGGACAGUUAUAGAAAUUUAGCGAAACGGAAAUAAAUCAACGGUUUGCCAAAAAUUUAACGCUUAUAGUAUGAAUCCCAAUAAGGAAAUGAAGACAUCUACUACAUCACAAUAUGAAUAAAACAUAAACAAAGAAAUUUGGCAUGACCUCUGCAUAAAAAUGGACAUAUUAAGUGAUUGAGAUCUGGCGAAACAGAAAUAAAUCAACGUAUCGCCAAAACUUUAGCACUUAUAGUAAGUAUACCUAUAAUGAAUUGAAGACAUCUACUACAACAUAUUAUUUAACUCAGUAUGAACAGAAAUAAUGUACGGAAUAAUACAAUAUAUAUGUGAGACUAUAUAAUUACCUCUAAUAUGAACAAAUUGGUAUUCCUUGUUCAUGGUUACGUAUGUGGCUGCUGCAACUAUAAUUGUUUUGAUGUGUGUGCCUUAAAAACUAUAGAACAAGAAACUACAACUAUAAAUGAACUCUAGUAUGAACAAAUCGAACUCAUUAACGAAUAUGAACACAUUAAUAGCAAUAACCCUAACCCUAGUCGAACGUACGUGUGCGUGUGCGUGGCGGCCGUGGCCGUGGGUGACAAGGAGGAAAGCCGGAGAGGGAGGCGCGGACGACAAUGUAUUACUGGAUGGAGCGGAGGGUGACGGGGCGGAUCGUCGGUGAGGGCGACGGGGCGGCGAAUCGAGGGCGAGGGAGACGCGCGGUGAACGGCUAGGGCGGCGACGAGUAAGCGGUGCUGAUGGCGGCAGCGGACAGGGACGACGACUUGGGUAGCAUGGAUGAGCCAACGGCGUCCGCGACGAGAUGGGGAAGAGUGGGAGUGAGAGAGUAAAUUGGGGUAGGAGGAGAGGGGGCACGUGCGUGUACGUAGGUCGAUUGAGUUUGUCGUAUGCGACCGGUGUGCCAAGCCUCCCAACACGGCUUCUUUGGGGUGGUGGGCGGAAAACCGAUUCGAUUUGGGGCAGAAUAGACAGCUAACUUAGUUGUGGCGGGUAGGGGCCCAUACCCGCCAGAGCUAAUAUCUGUAUAAAAUUUAUUUUUCUGGCGUGCAUUGCUGGCACUAAACUGUGGCCGGCCCAAUCGAGCGUCCGCCACUUUUGCAUUCAAGAACAAUGGCGGCCGAGGCUAACACCCGCCACUGAUCGCAUUCAUCAGGUGGCCAUACUCAGUGGUGCUUACUUGUGGCGGGUGGUGUUCUCCACCCGCCACUGCUACGCAUGUAACUCUGGAGGUCAUGUUGUGGCACCUGCCACUGGUACUUUUGCUAACUAGCAGUGGCAGGUGCUAUGUCCCGCCCGCCAAUCUUUCGAAUUCACCUAUAAGCCCUUUCCCAGUAGAGUAAUAAAGGACUUCUUGACAAGUCCGUGUAGAUUAAAGGUAUGUUAGUAGAUGGUGUAAUAAAUACAUGCUUUAGUGAUCUAAGGAUACAAAUAUGCCACUAUUUAUUUUGUAAAAGGUCGAAAUCAUUCUUAGAAAUCUUAGUAACAACAGUUCUCAUGAACAACUUUGACAAAAUGCAUCAAAUGUUACAAAUAAUACAUACAAACUUAGUUCAAUAAAUUAAUCAAUUGAAGUGAGAACAAACCUAAAUGUACUUAGAGUAAAUCAAUUAAUACGUGUAAAGCCAAUACUAAUCCAAUAUUUAUUAAUAAAUUUGCAUAGAAUUACAACCCUUUGACAUAGAAAGGGAAUAUGAUGAGUCAUGUAUAGAUAACUUGCACAACAUUCCUACCCUUGGCAUAAAAGGAGAAAUUGAUGAGUCAUGUAUUGAUAAUGUGCACAACAUCACUACCCUUGACAUAAAAGGAGAAUUUGAUGAGUCAUGUGUUGAUAACGUGUACAACAUUACUAUCAGUAUGUUCAACUUACCAUCAUAUUAUACAACACUACAAGUUAGUUUUAAAAAGAACAAGAGUCCAGAACGAAGAUCAGAAUACUUGCUUGAUCUAUCUUAACAACAUGCACUAGGACAAAAAUUUAGUCCCACGCAAGCUAUGAAGAUUUGUUUUAUGUAUAACUAUUUGUACAACAUGACAAACUUAGAUCCAAAAGGAAUGCAAUCCAGAUAAUUGUUUGACAUGUAAAGUGAAUAAGAUGAGUCAAUGCCAAUUAUCAAGUUUUCCUCACUCUUAGAUGAUAUGUACAAUAAAAAGACAACUUUGAUGAUCACUCUGAAAUUACGUUUGUAUGUAGUGCCACCAAACACAACAUCCCAAAUAUUAGUUUGAUAAGCAUCAAAUCACUUUUGAAAAAAGAAAGCAAUAAUGAAAAGAAACCUAACCAAGAUAGCUAUAAAAAGGCCUGCAAUAUGUAGACUCCAUACCAUCAUCCAUCCUUCACACACCUAGAGCACAAAUCAGCAAAUCCAAGUACGUAGUAGUUAACGCAAAUCGACCAUGAAGACCUUACUCAUCCUGACGAUCCUUGCGAUGGCAAUAACCAUCAGCACCGCCAAUAUGCAGGUCGACCCUAGUGGCCAAGUACAAUGGCCACAACAACAACUAGUCCCCCAACCCCAACAGCCAUUAUCCCAGCAACCGCAACAAGCAUUUCCCCAACCCCAACAAACAUUUCCCCAUCAACCACAACAACAAGUUCCCCAGCCUCAGCAACCACAACAACCAUUUCUCCAGCCCCAACAAGCAUUCCCCCAACAACCACAACAACCAUUCCCUCAGACUCAACAACCACAACAACCAUUUCCCCAGCAACCACAACAACCAUUUCCCCAGCAAUCACAACAACCAUUCCCCCAGACUCAACAACCACAACAACCAUUUCCCCAGCAACCACAACAACCAUUCCCCCAGACUCAACAACCACAACAACCAUUUCCCCAGUUCCAGCAACCACACCAACCUUUUCCCCAGCCCCAACAACAAUUCCCGCAGCCCCAACAACCGCAACAAUCAUUCCCCCAGCAACAACGACCGUUCAUUCAGCCAUCUCUACAACAACGUUUGAACCCAUGCAAGAAUAUCCUCUUGCAACAAUGCAAACCUGCGUCAUUGGUGUCAUCCCUCUGGUCGAUAAUCUGGCCACAAAGCGAUUGCCAAGUGAUGCAGCAACAAUGCUGCCAAGAACUAGCACAGAUUCCUCAGCAGCUCCAGUGCGCAGCCAUCCAUAGCGUCGUGCAUUCCAUCAUCGUGCAGCAGCAGCAACAACAACAACAACAACAACAACAACAACAAGGCAUGCAUAUCCUGCUGCCACUAUCUCAACAACAACAGUUGGGUCAAGGUACUCUCGUCCAAGGCCAGGGCAUCAUCCAACCUCAGCAACUAGCUCAAUUGGAGGCGAUCAGGUCAUUGGUGUUGCAAACUCUUCCAACCAUGUGCAACGUGUAUGUCCCACCUGAGUGCUCCAUCAUCAGGGCACCAUUUGCCAGCAUCAGGGCAUCAUCAGGGCACCAUUUGCCAGCAUAGUCGCGGGGAUUGGUGGCCAAUGAAAAAAGCAAGAUCUAUACUAAUAGAUAGAUGGAUCAUCGUUACUUAGCAGAUGCACCAAUCGAUGUAACGAUGACAAAUAAAGUGGCGUGCACCAUCAUGUGUGACCCCGACCAGUGCUAGUUCAAGCUUGGGAAUAAAAGACAAACAGAGUUCUUGUUUGCCAGCAUUGCUUGUCAUUGUUCCAUUCACCAUGUAUUUAGAUGUUCAUCCCUAACCGCAGUUCUAGGCUUACACAUCAACAGCUAGUUGCUUGUGCCGGCAGGUUCCUAUGUAAUCUACCGAUUAAUGGUUGACCUAUUAAUCCAGUUUAUAGGCCGAUUGAUCUAUUAAUUGCUGCUCCCAAACUGACCGACCAGCUAUCAGUUACCAUUUUGCUGAACAUUGCACACAGUAAUAACUCAACGUAUUUUAAUGUCUAGAAGUAAAAGGGCCAUUUUAGCAGCAAAACAAGCGCCUGAUUAGGAACCAUCCAUCACUUUAAAUGUUCACCAAGAUAUUUUUGCGUUGGUGCAAUUUUGAGAUUGGUGGCACCGAAACAUUCCUCAAAGCAAUUCUUUAUGGGACUCCAAAGAGGUGAAAAUAAAGUAAAGUUGCCACAUGGUAAAAUAUAAAUCAUGCGGCGAGCAAGAGAAAAUAUUGAGUUACGAUAGCAAGCGCCAAACAUGCCAUUAAACUCUUCAUAUGGUUUCGUGCAGAGAGGGGGGAUUUAGAGAUGACAAACAAAGCUUAAGUAGCAUCGGUUCUGAUUGUAGAAAUUUCUUUUACCUAUAGAAUAACUCGGUUGUUAUUUCUUUAACAAUGUAGUGUGAUAUUAACUUAUCUCAAUCUAGGAACACAAAGCAAAUAUUACAUGUGCUUCUAUGGAUUCCAAGCAGAUGAGAAAUCAUAUUGUGUAGAAGUUCAUUAGAAGGAUAUAAUAGUUUUGACCUAAACAAAUUUACUAUUGUACUCGUGUCUUAGAAAAUUAAAGCUGAAAAUCAACAUAACCAUUGGACACUUCGAAAGACAAGUGUGGGAAAUAAAUAGUAGGAUGUAAAUUUGAGUAGAGUGUUUGAUCAAAUAUUGAACAAAUAACCCACAAACUACUAAAACUCAUCUAUUAAUUCUACCAUAUAUGAACUGUCACAAUGAUAAAGCUAUGAUUUUUUUGACAAAUAUGUAUCCUAGAACUAAUACAAGUUCAAACAAAUCAGCCACAGAUCCCCGAGCCCAUCCAACCAGAUAGCUGAAACUGAAAGAAGCAUUAGCUUGAUUAGAGCACCUACAGCCUAACUUGACAAAUUUGACCCCAGAAACGCUCGCGGACGCGCCCGGUAGUAACCGGUCACGCCUAAAAUAUUUCAUUCUACAACCAGAUACCUCAAAUUAGAAACCUCAAAUCCAUAUUAUUACAUGCAACAUAAAUCGAUCUUUAAGCAGAGCACGUCCGGUGAUCGAAUGCUCUCCGGAGUGUUGGUCCAGUCACCGGCAAGUUAGAGUAGGGCAUGGGAUACGAGGCGGGUCACGGGACUCGAGGCGCCACCGUCCCCCAUUCCCAACUCUUCUCCAUCGGAACCAGGACGGUGCCGGUGGACGUCAGAUCGAUGAUGGAUCCUUCCUGGGAUGAGCCAUCAACAUCGACCACCACGUGGUUGCGGUGCCCGGACUAGUGCACAAUAUGGGGAGCCGAAAAAUACGACUUUGCCUUCGCAACGACCACCACCGCGAGGGCUGUCGCCGCCUCCCGCACCCGCUGCCUUGCAUGGCAGGAGCGCCGAACUAUGUUUUGCGUCGGGCGGUGCCCAUGGUGUGUCCAUGGCCUCAGCACGCCAAUGGAGGGGCUGUGCGUCUGCCACCCAUUUGAACGCUAGAUGGACCGCACCACCUCUGGUGAGGCAGUGAUGGUACACCUAGCGCCGGAUCCAUGCAUCAUUUGGGCGGACGCAUUGGAUUCCCCGCGGAAGGAGUUCGAGCAUUGCCGUUGCCAUCGGGCAGCCUCCUCCUGAGACCGGCGGAGCGCAAGCUCGAUUGCCAUCUCCUCCUAGGAGCCGCGUGGGAUGAGUUCGGGGUCGACGGAUCUGGAGGUAUAACACUGGGAUCCGCCGCCUGCCAUGCCGAAGAAGGCCAUAAGAUCGUCGGACGGGGGCGGCAGGGAGUGAAGUGAAGUGGCUAGGGUUUGGUCCGGCAAGCGGAUGGGGAGGAAUAUAUGUGGGGUCGGGUGGGCCAGCGUGGAUCGGGACCGACAUGGCGGACGCGCGUGGGCGCCCCAUAUUCUUCCCAGAUUUCGGCUGGAUAUGAGGGGUGUUGGUCAGCUUGGGCGUUGAGGCCCGUCUAGGUCAUUUUUCUGUGACCUGGCCGUCCGCCGGGGUGUUUGAAGUGGGUUUGGGACACCCGGGUGUAAAUGCUCUUAGACCAUGUAGUACCUUGAGGAGGAUGGUGUGGGUCCAUGAAAGAACUACAGCCUUUCCAUUAUGUUCGGGCGCAGGGCGAUAACGAAGUUAUCUUUACUCCUACAAGGGGAGUUGUUAGUCUCCGUUCCAUGGGUUUUUUUGUCUCACCUCCCAUCUUCGUUUCAUUUUUUCCGUCUCUCUUUCACACCGUCGGGUGGAGCUUAUGUGUCAUACUCCGUGACCUUUCAUUAGUUUUCUAGAGAGAAUCCUACUCUCAUAGAUUGCGACGUUUAACAAUCAGACUCAUAUAGGUGUGUUCUUCAAAAGAUGUUCUGCAGGACAACAUCUCUCCUUCAAAAAGCCACUUAGAACACAUUAAGAUAUACAUCAACCUACCAUGCAGAUUAGGAGAGUAUUGCAUCUUCAUGGAGUGGUAUUUUAACAAUAAGGAUACACUACUAGGGAAAAGGCUAGCAGCAGCGCGGGUUUUUGGUGUAUCAGUAGCGCGGGGUGGGGCGCUACUAAUAAGGCGCUACAGCUAACAUAUAGCAGUAGCGCGUGGUCACCGGCGCUACUGCUACACAAGUGUAGCAGCAGCGCGGUUACUGGGAGCACGCUACUGCUAGUAGCUCUAGCGCCCUUUGCAGCAACGCGCUACUGCUAUAGAGGCGCUGCUGCUAACUUCUAUACACUCGCUACUGCUAAUUUAACAGGUUUUUUGUUUUUUUGGGCAUAUUUGUUUUGUAUUUGAACAGGCUUUAUAGAAGAAUCUUUAGCACAUAGAAAUGUCAUCAUGAUACACAUACAAAUGCCUGCGAGACCACGAAUAUAAUCAUAGCAUAUACAUACAAAUAGUCUCAUCAUAAUCAUCAUCCAACACAAAGUGGUCUCUCGUCAUCAUCUCGAAAAUAGCGAUACAAGUCCUUGAUUACUUGCAAAUACAUUGUCAUCCAUCUAAACAAUGGUAUACGCGAGAAGAGCUAUCACUUUGAGAACAUGAGUUCGUAUCCCUCUCUCGCAUUAGCGUGAACCUAAACUAACUACUGCCUGUCGCUCGGAAACCGGAAACCGGCAACACCUGGGUCUGACACUCCGGUCACUCAUCGUAUAUAUACUCCUGGCGUAGCACUUCUUCGCCAUCGAUGAUCUAUGCACCUGCAUCAUCACAUGAGUAGAUGAUAUGCAACAUAUAUAGUUGAGCAACAGAAAGAGACAGACUUGACAAAAAUAGAAACAACGUAUCAUAAGCAUAAAUAACAAAGUUCAUCAUAACCAAAAUGCCCUAACUAGAGUGAUCUUCGCUAGUCGAGGAGGAGGACGGUUUAAUUACAUCACAAAUAAAGUUUUACUGCGCAUAACUCAAAGUUUUGUCAUACAGAAAGUAUGGAGUAAACAGACACAUUGUCAUAUAUUGACAAUCACUCCAACAUGCCGUGCCAUCCAUCGAGGUCAGGGAGAUAGUCCCCGAGCUUAGUGAAAGGCUUCAUGUCGAGACGCUGAGAGGCUAUCCAUGUUCGGACGUCUUCCCACAACAUUUUUCCUCCGUAGAACAUCCCUGUUUUUCCGACGACCUCUUUCAUGAUGAUUUGGGCAAGUUCGCGUUGGAUGUUAUAGAACUCAGCUCGAAGUCGAUGAUCCUCGAUAUCUCCUAUGUCCUUUGCCCAUUGCAGAAUAUGGGCAUCGCCAGAUCUAGGUGACAUGUGAAGGUUCUGGUGAUCCCGUUUGUACUCCCGCAUGUGGUGUAGGACAUAGAAUCCACCAUUAAGAGAAUCGUUCGGUUGUUGGAUGCAGCAGAAGUCGGUCUUAUGGCUGAAGGCGGCCCUGCCGCCCCUUCUCUUCUUGUCCCUAACCUCUCCACCCCUUGCUUGGUAGUAAAACAUAGCACUGUCGAGAACAUCUUUGAUGUGGGUGUAAUCCUUUUUGUGAAUGUUAUUCGAUGAGUCCAAGUAAAGAGCAUGGGAGAAUCGGGGGUAGAGGAUGAUGAGGACGGCGCGCCCGCCGCUGCGCAAAAUAAGUACACCUCAAAUUAAUUAGCCUUCACCGUGCAAAUGAAUUAUUGAAAUCGAAGGAAGGAUAGCAGCGCGGAUGACUUACACGGGAUGAUAAGGCACGAGAAUCGCCUCCUUGUCCUUAUUGGCGAGCAUGAAACUAACGAUGUAAUUCCUCGCGUAUUCACGCUGCUCUGCACAGACUCCCAAGAAGCUCUCGUGCAUGUAGUACGGGUCAGUGACACAGAUAUGACGUAUCUGCUCAACCCCAAUGAUGUAGUUCAUGUGCAAGGCAUAAAGGCGGACAAAUGUAAAAUCCAGCUUCUUCACGUGAAACAUGUCGAAUAUGUAAUCGAAUCGGAGGAAGAACUUAUCCGCAGCGAAGCUGUCGACGUAUGACAUUUUCCGCGGAACGUUAUCCACGUAGAGUGGGUAUCCUGGAUCUUUCGAGGCAAUGAGGCAUUUCUCUACCCGUAGCACAUCAUCAUGAAGUCUCCUUAGAUCGCCGAAUCUGGCCCGUAGCGCUGUUGCAGGUAGGAUUGGUUGACCGGGGAUAUGCCAUUUAUCCGCAUCGGGGAUAUCUAGACGGUCCUGAAGCUGAGGCUGCUGAGGCGGCUGGAUCAUAGAAUCAACUUUUUUUCCUUUCCUCGCUCUCUUCCUAGACUUCUUUACUACCGGAAAGUCGUCAAUAACACAUUGAGACGGUAAUUCAGGCACCGACUCAUGAUGCUCAAACCCUGAGGAGGCGCCAGUAUAGACAUACUGUUCAGCGCCAUCGUCAUCCUCAUCCUCAUCCAUGGCGACGUCAUCAGCGACUAAUGGAGCCUCCUCCUUACCCCGUCCGCUAUCACCCAACCCGACACCCAACGCUAAUUGGGUAGGUGGGGUGUUGAUGUUCAUACCUUGCUGAGACUGCGUGCUCGUGGGUGUGCUCCCGGCCGCCUCCAGACGAAGCAGACUCUUUGGCCACAACAGGACCUACCCAUUGCAACAAUCACCAAGCCGCUGCGGUGUCUCCUCGUCAUCCACCAAUAGUGUUGGAGGAGGCAAAUUCUCGUGGCCCGGUUCGACACUGGCCAUGGAAACCUUGAAGACGUUUGGGGGAAUCGGCCGGCUGUGGAACAAUGGUUCCUUCGGCUUCAUUAUCGUCGCCUUCCCCAUGGCCACCUUCUGGUCCCCGAUGGUGUACAAUAUGGUGCGCGGGGUUUCGUCGGCCUGCAAAGAGAAGUCUGCGACGUGAGACAUUCGAAAGGCAACGAAAACGGGAGAUUAUACAUUUAUAUUGAAGGGGGCCGGUGUGACAGAUACCGUGAGGGCGUCGAGCUCAGCCAAAGACAAAGCACCGCCGAGCACGUCCGGUGCGGGAGCCGGUGCGGGAGCAGGUGCUCCCAAGAAGUCAGCAAGGGGAAAGUCCUCUGCAUUUUUUUCUGGAUUUUUCCUUGUCCAAGUGAUAACGCCCGUCACCAAGGAAGUAGACAAAUCUGCAACCGCCUGUUUUGCGGCAGCUACCGCUGUUGCGACUGUCUGAGAUGAUUUCUUCUCAACCGCAAUCUCAACCUUCUUGUCGAUGUUUUUUUCAGUUAACCUCCGUCUUUCCUUUCUCUCCUCUGUGGUCUCCCGGUAGUACUUCUUCCACGUGGCGCCGUCUCCGACACCGUGCACGCGUCCAUACGAUGGUCGAGUAUCCAUCGGUUGUCGUUUCAAUAUGUUCAACGUCCGGUUGAAUGGAGUGUCCCACUUGGGCCUCGCCAAUGCCUCAGACGGCGAGUCGUUUUCGACCGCAAUCCGGUGCUGCUCUCUCUGCAAAAGGCACAAGGAUCGUUUACAAAUAUGACUAACGUGUGCAGUCGAAUUGAUCAGAAACUAAAAUUACCAGCAGUCUCAUGAACUCCGUAAUGACCGGUGUUGUCUCAUAAACCUUCUUCACUGGGUCCCAACGGUGCCGAGCCCUCAGGACGUCACGCUCCUGCGGGACAGUGAAAUCCGCCAAGGGGUCUGGGAUGCCCAGACUCGCGGCUUCCGCGUCCUCCUUGGCCCAUUUGGACCUCUUUCCGCCGUAACCACGCUUCCGAGGUGGUGGCUCCCAAUGUUCCUCUUUUGAAGCCCCUUCAUGUACUUAGACUUUUUUUGGCAGCUUCGGCCUCGCAAGCCUCCUUGAAUAUUUGAAACUGCUCUUCCGUGAUUGUCAGAUUAUCCUUUACAAUCUCGGAGUAGGGUUCCCCGUCGUUGAUCUUUGCUUUCACUCAAUUUUUCCAGGCGGCCAACGCGUCGCUAAACUUGGUCAUGGCGUGUUUGUUUAUCUUCUUCAUUGCGGGGUCCUCGUCUGGAUCUUCAUAAUCCUUCUCAUUCCGGCCCGGGAACAAGAAUAUCUGGUGAAACUUCUUUAGAAGGGAGCUCCUCAUAUUUUCUAUCUUCUAUAGUUUCUCAUCAUUGAUGGUGGCGGUUGUCCGUAUGAUGCAGCCUAUUUGAUUGCCGUAGCACGCGCGCGCUUCCUCGGGCGCCUUUGGCUCAAAAUUGCCGUCGUCCACCUCUGUGACCACCAGUCUAGUAGUCCUGAGUUUGUUAGGAACCCGUUGCUUCUUUGCGUUCGGUUCUACACCAGCUCCGCUCCCCGAGACAGCACCGGUCUCAGCGCCGCUCUCGAUGCCGGUCUGAAUCUCAGCGCCGGUCUCAGUCUCAGCACCGGUCUGCGUGUCGGUCUCAGUCCCCGAUGCCACUGGUGGGCCCAGCAACAACAUCGGUUGAUCGUCGGUAAGGCUAAAAUAUUCAUCUGCCACCAGGUAGACGUCGUCGCAAUCACCAGAACCCUGUCCUUCAUCGUUGCUAGCCAUGUUUCCUAUCAUUAAAUCUAGUCAAUUAAUUCUAGACCUAAUAAAAUGAAUAAUGACAUAAAAAAGGACUAUUGUUUUGCAGGAAUGUUGACUCCUUCCUGGUGCGGAAAAUCCCGGCACUCGAUAUGUCCUAGUUUGUAGCACAAGUCAUGCCGAAAUUCACGGAAAAUUUUGGCAUGGCCUUUGCUAAAAAGUGGACAAAUCGAGAACCUGAAAUUUGUCGGAACAGAAAUGAAUCAACAUUCCGGCAAAACAUAGGCCACUCAGCAUCAUUCCCUGGAAACAACAAAGCCACUUGGGCACAAUCGAACAACUUCAAUGAAAAGAUAUAACAUGAGCAAACACUAUUGAGGAAUUUGCAUAUAACAUGGCCACUUCAAUGAAAAGAUAUAAUCAACAAUAACGGAAUAUGCAAAUGAACAUCAAUGACAUAUAGCUACUGUUCUGUUUGACCAAGUUUUUGAAAAGAAAAACAAUUCUGUUUUUUGUUUAUAGCUAAAUGCCAUAGCUACUAUUUUUUAUUUAUAGCUAAAUACUUUUGUUUUUUGUCUAAAGCUAAAAGUCUAGGAACUACAUUUUCUCUAACCCUUUUGACCUCACCAGAAUUUUCACAGCAAGACCUUAGUACCUACACCCAAUUUCUUCAAAAAUAUUCAGGUCCAUAGUCCAAAUAAUUCAAAUUUCAUUUGAAUGAAAUUUGGAACAAAUUCAGGUCCGUAGUCAAAAUAUUUUUUUAUAGCUAAGUGUUUUUUGUUUAUACCCUCUGUUAAUUUAAAUCUAAAUGCUACUAUUAUUUAUAUACCCUCUAUUAGUUUAAAGCUAAAUGGAAUUACUGUUUAGGAAUUUUCAUAAAAAUUGCCCUAGCUAAUUUCCUAAAAAAAUUGCAAAUCAUUUUUCCUAAAUGCUAUAAAAUGCCUACUGCCCUAAAAAAAUCUAGGGUUCAUAUGAACACCUAGGGUUCAUAUGAACAUCAACACAGUAUCAACAUAUAUAUAUAUAAUUGCCCUAGCAGAGAGAAAUAGGAGGGUAGGGACAGGAGAGGCAUAGCCUUACGGUCGGCGUUGAGGGCAGGCUCUGGCUCGGGCAGCGGCGGUGAGGUCAAGGGCGGCGGCGGCGAGCUCGAGGGAGGCGACAGUGAGGUCGACGGUGACAGCCUCGGGUGGCGGCUGUGAGGUCGAGGGGGCGGCCUCGGGCGGCGGCCUCGGGCGGCGGCAGUGUGGUCAAAGGCGGCGGGCGGCGGCGGUGUGGUCGAAGGCGGCCUCCGGCGGUGGCGGUGUGGUCGAAGGCGCGCGGCAGGGCAACGGCGGCGAUGAAGCAGUUGGGGGACAGGGGGGAGUAGAGAGGGGGGAAAGGACUUAGCAAAAUUUUGAGCCAGGGCCGCCGGGAUUUGAGUCAAACUAGCAGCAGCGCGUUUUGACGAAACGCGCUAUAGCUAAGAUAGCUAUAGCGUGUUCCAGAGAAAUGCGCUACAGCUAACCCUUUCUGUUUUCUUUCUCUUUUUAUUUUGUUUUCUUUACAUUUUCUUUUUUUCAUUUCUCCUUUUUCUAUUUCUUUCAUUUUCAUUUACUUUUCUACUUAAUUUUCUAUUUAUUUUCCUUUACAUAGCAGUAGCGCUGUAAAGAAGAAACGCGCUGCUACAAUGUUUUUAACAGUAGCGUGCUUCUGGGAGAAGCGCUGCUACUAUUCCUAGCCUACCGGCACCAGUGAGAGAAUUUUAGUAGUAGCGCUUUUUUGUGGAGAAGCGCUACUACUAAAAUAAUGAUUGUAGCGUGGUUUUGCAACAAGCGCUACUACUAAGUAGCGCUAGCGCCGAGUUUUGACCAACGCUACUGCUAUACCUCUGUGUAUAGCAUUUUCCCUAGUAGUGAUACUCUCCUCUCAGUUGACCAACAGCUUGUCUUCCACAUCUAAUUCACGGGAUCUCCGAUCACAAAGAAUGGGUUACCACUGUGGACACCUCAUAUUGUGGGUCUCAUUCCCAUCUCCAUCGAUGCAUUAUCUAUCACAUUACGUGAUAGACCCUUAGUAAAAGGAUCUGCCAGAUUUUUAGACGUUUGGAUAUAAUCCAAUGCAAUAACUCUCGAGUUUUUCAUUUUUCUGACAGACUUUAACCUUCUCUGAACGUGUCUUGAUGACUUCAUGUUAUCCUUUGAGCUGCUCACUUUAGUGAUCACAGUUUGAUUGUCACAGUUCAUCCGGAUACCCGGUACAGGUUUCUCAACUACCGGUAAGUCAUUCAAGAGCCGACGAAGCCAAUCUGCUUCGACCGUAGUUGUAUCUAGUGCUGUGAGUUCUGCUUCCAUUGUUGACCUCGUUAAAAUGGUCUGCUUGCAAGACUUCCAAGAAACAGCGCCACCUCCAUGAGUGAAUACAUAACCGCUCGUGGCCUUUAUCUCAUCAACAUCUGAGAUCCAGUCUGAGUCAAUAUACCCUUCAAGCACCUUUGGAUGCCUAGUGUAGUGAAUUCCAUAAUUUGCAGUGCUUUCAAAUAACGCAAAACUCUCUCUAGAGCUUUCCAAUGCACAUCUCCUGGUUUUGAGACAAACCGGCUCAGUUAGCUAACAGCAAAAGAGAUGUCAGGUCUCGUAGCACUGGCUAAGUACAUAAGCGAGCCAAUAAUGUGUGAAUAUUCCAAUUGGUCUCUAGCAAUUCUUCGAUUCUUUCGAAGCAACACACUAGCAUCAUAUGGUCUUGGAGAGGGCUUGCAGUCACUGUAGCCAAAGCGACUCAAGAUCUUUUCCCCAUAGUGAGACGGAAGCAAUGUAAUCCCACCAUCAUCAUCUCUCAACAACUUGAUGUUCAGAAUGACGUCAGCCACUCCUAAAUCCUUCUUCUCAAAACAGCGAGAUAGGAAAUCCUUGACCUCCUUAAGAACAUUUAGAUUUGUUCCGAAAAUCAGUAUGUCAUCAACAUACAAGCAAAGCAUAACUCCCUCGCCCCCACCAUGGCGAUAGUACACACAUUUGUUAGCUUCGUUCACAACAAAGCCUGCAGCUGUUAAAGUUCUUUCGAACUUCUCAUGCCACUGUUUGGGUGCUUGCUUGAGUCCAUACAAAGACUUCAGCAACUUGCACACUUUCCCUUCCUAACCAUCUAUUACAAACCCAUCUGGUUGUUCCAUAUAAAUUUCCUCAUCCAACUCUCCAUUUAGGAAAGCAGUCUUAACAUCCAUUUGAUGAACGAGAAGACCAUGUGAGGCAGCUAGUGAAAGUUUAACUCGAAUAGUGGUCAGUCGAGCCACAGGUGAGUAAGUAUCAAAGAAGUCUUCACCUUCCUUUUAGGUAUAACCCUUUGCCACGAGCUGAGCCUUGUACUUUUCAAUAGUACCAUCAGGCCUAAGUUUCUUCUUGAAUACCCAUUUGCAUCCUAUAGGUUUGCACCAUAAGGACGAUCAGUUAUCUCCCAAGUUUCAUCCGCCAAGAUGGAAUCCAUCUCGCUACGAACCGCUUCCUUCCAGUAGUCAGCAUCUUCCGAUGCAUAGGCCUCCAAAAUAGAACUGGGAGUGUCAUCUAUGAGAUACACAAGAAAAUCAUCACCCAAGGACUUUGCUGUCCUCUGUCUCUUACUCCUAGUAGGAACUUCAUUGUUCUCCUCCACAGGCCUUUCAAAGUGUUCCAUCGAAAUGGCAGGUUCAGUAAUUGUAACUGGUUCCUGAUUCGAUGAACUAGGCAUCUCCUGAUUAGAUGAGGUAGCCAUAUCCUUCAUGGGAAAGAUAUCUUCAAAGAAAGUCGCAUCAUUCGACUCCAUGAUCGUACUGACAUGCAUGUCAGAUACCUCAGAUUUUACAACCAAGAAUAUAUAGCCAAUGCUAUGAAAAGCAUAUCCCAGGAAAACACAAUCCACAGUCUUUGGUCCAAGCUUCCGCUUCUUUGGAAUUGGAACAUUGACUUUCGCCAAGCAACCCCAUGUUCGCAGAUAAGAGAGUCUUAACCUUUUCUUCUCCCAUUCCUCGAAUGGAGUUAUCUCUUUGUUCUUUGUGGGAACUCGAUUUAGGACAUGACAUGCUGUCAAUAUCGUCUCCCCCCACCAUGCCUUGGAGAGACCCGAUGUGCAUAACAUGGCGUUAACGAAAUCAGUUAGAGUACGGUUCUUUCUUUCGGCCACCCCAUUUGACUGAGGUGAGUAGGGAGGCGUCCUCUCAUGGAUUAUACCAUGUUCCGCACAAAAAGCAUCAAAUUCAUUGGAAAAAUACUCUCCACCACGGUCAGACCUAAGCCUCUUGAUUUUUCGAUCAAGUUGGUUUUCCACUUCAGCUUUAUAGAUCUUGAAAAAGUUCAAAGCCUCAUCCUUAGAUUUCAGAAGAUACACAUGGCAGUAUCUAGUGGAGUCGUCAAUUAACGUCAUGAAAUAUUUCUUUCCACCUUUUGUCAAAACACCAUUCAUUUCACAUAGAUCUGAAUGUAUAAGUUCUAGUGGUGCAAGAUUUCUCGUCUCCGCAGUCACGUGAGACUUACGAGGUUGCUUAGCUUGCACACACACUUGACACUUAGAUCCUUGACAGUGGUGAAACUAGGGAUUAAGUUCAACUUCGCUAGUCGCGACAUGCAACCAAAGUUAACAUGACAAAGACGUGAAUGCCACACAUUUGAUUCACUAUUGUUGCAAAUAUGAUUAACAACUUUAUUGCAAAUGUCUGAUAAGGAUAAACGAAACAGGCCUCCUGACUCAUAGCCUUUACCAACAAAGGUCCCAUACUUGGAUAUUACAAAUUUAUUCGACUCAAAGACAAGCUUAUAGCCAUCUCUACACAGAAGAGAUCCGCUAACAAGAUUUUUAUUGACGGAGGGGACAUAAUGCACGUUCUUCAGCCGCACGAUCUUCCCUGAAGUAAACUUCAGAUCAACCAUGCCAACACCACGAACAGAAGCACUUGAACUGUUGCCCAUCAGCACGGUUGAAGUCCCUGCGGUCUGAUAAGAUGAAAACAUGGAAAUAUCACCGUAUACAUGCACAUUAGCACCCAUGUCAAUCAACCAACCAGGAGAAUGACAUACUGAAAGAAUAGUGGGAAAUAUACCAUACCCAACAUCUUUCAUGUCAAUGUCUCCGAUGACAACAUUAGCGGUCUUGCCGCCUUUCCCAGGAUGACGCUUGUCAUAGCGAUUAGGACAACUAGGAGCCCAAUGAUCAGGAUCUCCAAACACAUGACAAGCACCUUUCUUAUUGUCAUUCUUCUUCUUGAAGUUCAUGUGCUGCACAGCCUUGUUCUUCCCAUCGAACUUUGCUUUACCAUCAAACUUGCCCUUGUUCUUGAACUUGUGGGACUGGAAGUUCUUCUUCUGUACCAGAUUGGCACUAGAUCCUCCCUCAAUACCUCGAGCACAUGUGUCCUUUGCUCUCGCCUUUUCUUCCACAUAAGAGUACCAAUGAGAUCCGGGAUGGAAAACUCCUGUCUCUUAUGCUUCAGUGAGGUAGCAAAGUUCCUCCAUGAAGGAGGAAGCUUAGUGAUGAUACCCCCGGCAACAAACUUGUCCGGUAAGAUACAAUUGAAGUGCUCAAGUUCUCUAGCAAAAGACUGUAUCUCAUGAGCCUGCUCAACCACGGAGCGCUCUUCAGUCAUCCUGUAAUCAUAGAAUUAUUCCAUGAUGUACAGCUCAGUGCCGGCAUCCGAGACCCCAAACUUGGCCUCGAGUGUGUCCCACAUAUCUUUUCAUUGUCAAUUGACGCAUAAGCAUCAACUAUGUUCUCACCAAGAACACUCAAAAGAGCAGCCUUAAACAAGGUAUCCAUUUUCUGGAAAGCUUGUGCCUGUUGGGCAUCUUGCUCUCCUUCGGGUUUGCCAAGAGUGGCAUCAUAGAAACUCAUGGUUUGAAACCAUAAGACUGCUCUCACACGCCACUUCUUAUAGUGGAUACCCUCAAACAUAGGAGGUCUCAUGGAAGCAGCAAAAUCACUCGGGGUAAAUUGCCUAUAAUAAGGUUUUUGGAUUGUUGGAAAUAUGAGCAAUUUACCGAAUGAUUUUAUUAACAAAAAUACUAGAUAAAGCAUGACUAAAAUAGCAAAUAUAAAGCAAGUCAUGCAGUCUGACAGAGAGAAGGUAAACAUCGUCUGCAUAUAUGAACUUGAGCUAAACACAGCUAGAACAGACACUAGAUGAAGUUGCUUAUACGAAACAGAACCUAACAUACGUAGGGCAGAAACUAGAGCCAAGAACUAUAGCAGGACUUCUAACAGAAAGGAGAAGAACACGUACGGCACAGCAGCAGCAGAAGCGCUGGACUUGGGGUUGGUGUCCUUGCCUGCCAUGUCAUCGAGGAGGUCAUGGACGUCAGGGAAGAAGUCGUCGUCGGGGAAGUAGUCGUUGGCGACCGGAUCGUCUGUGAUGAAGCAGCCAGUAGUCGCACUAAGUGCUCCCCAAAAACCUUAUCACCCUUCUCCCGUACAGGACUCAAAAGGUGCGGUCGCGAAAGCCUACUGUCCCGACGUGCGGUGCACGCCACAAGUCGGGAUGAGGAAGACAGCAGCAGCUCAGAGAUGGAACCGAUGGCGAGGGAAGGAGCAGUUCUGGUGCGUCUCUCUGAGAGGAGCGACCUCCCUUUUAUAGGCGCAAGAGAAGGAGGCGAGAGGCUGCGCCGGGAGCUGAAGGGAAUGCGGGAGACGAAACAAACAGGCAGCAGCCGAAGGGGCGCGCCGUUCGGAUUCAGUGUCCAGGCACAGAAAAAAAAUGUUUCAGCUUCCGAGUGACCUUUCGUAUACCCGUAGUGCGUGGCAAAAAUUUAGACAUCGGCUCGGCUCAUUCCCGCAACCCGCGGCGCGGCGCAUCGUGAUGAGGCGUGGUGAGGCGGGCGGCGGAGGAGGAGCACGCGUGGAUGUCCCUCUUGUUCUCAUGCUCAUACAAGUGGGGAAGGAGCCUCCCUUAUAAAGAGGUCCAACUCCCUCUAAACUAGCAAGGUGGGACUAAACUUUAGUUCCACCUCUUGCCUUGCACGAAUGGGCUGCGUGGGCCUCUAGGAUUUAUUAGGAAUUUCUAAAAUUGCUAUUGGGCUAGGCCCAAAUAGACAAAAAUUCCAGCAAUCCCCCACCAGAUCCCAGAGGCACACAAAAUUUGCCUUUGGUUCCAAAACACUGUUUUAUAUACUGGUACAGCAGUGGAGACUGUUAAGUUGAACUUCCACCUAGAACCCUAUGCUACACUAGUAAGCAACUUGAACAGUGGACUGGGCCUUGAACUGCAAGUUUUCUGCAAAUCUAGCUUCACAUAAGGCCUUGACCGAUACGUGGCUACCGUGGGUCUUCCCCGUGGGUGGAGCUUAUGCGUCAUACUCCGUGACCUUUCAUUAGUUUACUAGAGAGAACCCUACUCUCAUAGAUUGCGACGUUUAACAAUCAGACUCAUAUAGGUGCGUUCUUCAAAAGAUGUUCUGCAGGACAACAUCUCUGCUUCAAAAAGCCACUUAGAACACAUUAAGAUAUAAAUCAACCUGCCAUGCAGAUUAGGAGAGUAUUGCAUCUUCAUGGAGUGGUAUUUUAACAGUAUGGAUACUCUCCUCUCAGUUGACCAACAACUUGUCUUCCACAUCUAAUUCACGGGAUCUCCGAUCAUAAAGAAUAGGUUACCACUAUGAACAACUCAUAUUGUGGGUCUCAUUCCCAUCUCCCUCGAUGCAUUAUCUAUCACAUUACGUGAUAGACCGUUAGUAAAAGGAUCUGCCAGAUUUUUAGACGUUUGGAUAGAAUCCAAUGCAAUAACUCUGGAGUUUUUCAUUUUUCUGACAGACUUUAACCUUCUCUGAACGUGUCUUGAUGACUUCAUGUUAUCCUUUGAGUUGCUCACUUUAGUGAUCACAGUUUGAUUGUCACAGUUCAUCCGGAUACCCGGUAUAGGUUUCUCAACUACCGGUAAGUCAUUCAAGAGCCGACGAAGCCAAUCUGCUUCGACCGUACCUGUAUCUAGUGUUGUGAGUUCUGCUUCCAUUGUUGACCUCGUUAAGAUGGUCUGCUUGCAAGACUUCCAAGAAACAGCGCCACCUCCAUGAGUGAAUACAUAACCGCUCGUGGCCUUUAUCUCAUCAGCAUCUGAGAUCCAGUUUGAGUCACUAUACCCUUCAAGCACCUUUGGAUGCCAAGUGUAGUGAAUUCCAUAAUUUGCAGUGCCUUUUAAAUAACGCAAAACUCUCUCUAGAGCUUUCCAAUGCACAUCUCCUGGUUUUGAGACAAACCGGCUUAGUUAGCUAACAGCAAAAGAGAUGUCAGGUCUCGUAGCACUGGCUAAGUACAUAAGCGAGCCAAUAAUCUGUGAAUAUUUCAAUUGGUCUCUAGUGAUUCUUCGAUUCUUUCGAAGCAACACACUAGCAUCAUAUGGUGUUGGAGAGGGCUUGCAGUCACUGUAGCCAAAGCGGCUCAAGAUCUUUUCCACAUAGUGAGAUUGAAGCAAUGUAAUCCCACAAUCAUCAUCUCUCAAAAACUUGAUGUUCAGAAUGACAUCAGCCACUCCUAAAUCCUUCAUCUCAAAACAGCAAGAUAGGAAAUCCUUGACCUCCUUAAGAACAUUCAGAUCUGUUCCGAAAAUCAGUAUGUCAUCAACAUACAAGCAAAGCAUAACUCCCUUGCCCCCACCAUGGCGAUAGUACACACAUUUGUCAGCUUCGUUCACAACAAAGCCUGCAGCUAUUAAAGUUCUUUCGAACUUCUCAUGCCACUGUUUGGGUGCUUGCUUGAGUCCAUACAAAGACUUCAGCAACUUGCACACUUUCCCUUCCUGGCCAUCUAUUACAAACCCCUCUGGUUGUUCCAUAUAAAUUUCCUCAUCCAAAUCUCCAUUUAGGAAAGCAGUCUUAACAUCCAUUUGAUGAACGAGAAGACCAUGUGAGGCAGCUAGUGAAAGUAGACCUCGAAUAGUGGUCAGUCGAGCCACAGGUGAGUAAGUAUCAAAGAAGUCUUCACCUUCCUUUUGGUUAUAACCCUUUGCCACGAGCCGAGCCUUGUACUUUUCAUUAGUACCAUCAGGCCUAAGUUUCUUCUUGAAUACCCAUUUGCAUCCUAUAGGUUUGCACCCAUAAGGACGAUCAGUUAUCUCCCAAGUUUCAUUCGCCAAGAUGGAAUCCAUCUCGCUACGAAUCGCUUCCUUCCAGUAGUCAGCAUCUUCCGAUGCAUAGGCAUCCGAAAUAGAACUGGGAGUGUCAUCUAUGAGAUACACAAGAAAAUCAUCACCAAAGGACUUUGCUGUCCUCUGUCUCUUGCUCCUAGUAGGAACUUCAUUGUUCUCCUCCGCAGGACUUUCAAAGUGUUCCAUCGAAAUGGCAGGUUCAGUAAUUGUAACUGGUUCCUGAUUCGAUGAACUAGGCAUCUCCUAAUUAGAUGAGGUAGCCAUAUCCUUCAUGGGAAUGAUAUCUUCAAAGAAAGUCGCAUCAUUCGACUCCAUGAUCGUACCGACAUGCAUGUCAGAUACCUCAGAUUUUACAACCAAGAAUCUAUAGCCAAUGCUGUGAAAAGCAUAUCCCAGGAAAACACAAUCCACAGUCUUUGGUCCAAGCUUCCGCUUCUUUGGAAUUGGAACAUUGACUUUCGCCAAGCAACCGCAUGUUCGCAGAUAAGAGAGUUUUAACCUUUUCUUCUCCCAUUCCUCGAAUGGAGUUAUCUCUUUGUUCUUUGUGGGGACUCGAUUUAGGACAUGACAUGCUGUCAAUAUCGCCUCCCCCCACCAUGCCUUGGAGAGACCCGAUGUGGCGUUAACCAAAUCAGUUAGAGUACGGUUCUUUCUUUCGGCCACCCCAUUUGACUGAGGUGAGUAGGGAGGCGUCCCCUCAUGGAUUAUACCAUGUUCUGCACAAAAAGCAUCAAAUUCAUUGGAAAAAUACUCUCCACCACGGUCAGACCUAAGCCUCUUGAUUUUUCGAUCAAGUUGGUUUUCCACUUCAGCUUUAUAGAUCUUGAAAAAGUUCAAAGCCUCAUCCUUACAUUUCAGAAGAUACACAUGGCAGUAUCUAGUGGAGUCAUUAAUUAACGUCAUGCAAUAUUUCUUUCCACCUUUUGUCAAAACACCAUUCAUUUCACAUAGAUCUGAAUGUAUAAGUUCUAGUGGUGCAAGAUUUCUCGUCUCCGUAGUCACGUGAGACUUACGAGGUUGCUUAGCUUGCACACACACUUGACACUUAGAUCCUUGACAGUGGUGAAACUAGGGAUUAAGUUCAACUUCGCUAGUCGCGACAUGCAACCAAAGUUAACAUGACAAAGACGUGAAUGCCACACAUUUGAUUCACUAUUGUUGCAAAUAUGAUUAACAACUUUAUUGCAAACGUCUGAUAAGGAUAAACGAAACAGGCCUCCUGACUCAUAGCCUUUACCAACAAAGGUCCCAUACUUGGAUAUUACAAAUUUAUUCGACUCAAAGACAAGCUUAUAGCCAUCUCUACACAGAAGAGAUCCGCUAACAAGAUUUUUAUUGACGGAGGGGACAUAAUGCACGUUCUUCAGCCGCACGAUCUUCCCUGAAGUAAACUUCAGAUCAACCAUGCCAACACCACGAACAGAAGCACUUGAACUGUUGCCCAUCAGCACGGUUGAAGUCCCUGCGGUCUGAUAAGAUGAAAACAUGGAAAUAUCACCGCAUACAUGCACAUUAGCACCCAUGUCAAUCAACCAACCAGGAGAAUGACAUACUGAAAGAAUAGUGGGAAAUAUACCAUACCCAGCAUCUUUCAUGUCAAUGUCUCCGAUGACAACAUUAGCGGUCUUGCCGCCUUUCCCAGGAUGACGCUUGUCAUAGCGAUUAGGACAACUAGGAGCCCAAUGAUCAGGAUCUCCAAACACAUGACAAGCACCUUUCUUAUUGUCAUUCUUCUUCUUGAAGUUCAUGUGCUGCACAGCCUUGUUCUUCCCAUCGAACUUUGCUUUACCAUCAAACUUGCCCUUGUUCUUGAACUUGUGGGACUGGAAGUUCUUCUUCUGUACCAGAUUGGCACUAGAUCCUCCCUCAAUACCUCGAGCACGUGUGUCCUUUGCUCUCGCCUUUUCUUCCACAUAAGAGUACCAAUGAGAUCCGGGAUGGAAAACUCCUGUCUCUUAUGCUUCAGUAAGGUAGCAAAGUUCCUCCAUGAAGGAGGAAGCUUAGUGAUGAUACCCCCGGCAACAAACUUGUCCGGUAAGAUACAAUUGAAGUGCUCAAGUUCUCUAGCAAAAGACUGUAUCUCAUGAGCCUGCUCAACCACGGAGCGCUCUUCAGUCAUCCUGUAAUCAUAGAAUUAUUCCAUGAUGUACAGCUCAGUGCCGGCAUCCGAGACCCCAAACUUGGCCUCGAGUGUGUCCCACAUAUCUUUUCAUUGUCAAUUGAAGCAUAAGCAUCAACUAUGUUCUCACCAAGAACACUCAAAAGAGCAGCCUUAAACAAGGUAUCCAUUUUCUGGAAAGCUUGUGCCUGUUGGGCAUCUUGCUCUCCUUCAGGUUUGCCAAGAGUGGCAUCAUAGAAACUCAUGGUUUGAAACCAUAAGACUGCUCUCACACGCCACUUCUUAUAGUGGAUACCCUCAAACAUAGGAGGUCUCAUGGAAGCAGCAAAAUCACUCGGGGUAAAUUGCCUAUAAUAAGGUUUUUGGAUUGUUGGAAAUAUGAGCAAUUUACCGAAUGAUUUUAUUAACAAAAAUACUAGAUAAAGCAUGACUAAAAUAGCAAAUAUAAAGCAAGUCAUGUAGUCUGACAGAGAGAAGGUAAACAUCGUCUGCAUAUAUGAACUUGAGCUAAACACAGCUAGAACAGACACUAGAUGAAGUUGCUUAUACGAAACAGAACCUAACAUACGUAGGGCAGAAACUAGAGCCAAGAACUAUAGCAGGACUUCUAACAGAAAGGAGAAGAACACGUACGGCACAGCAGCAGCAGAAGCGCUGGACUUGGGGUUGGUGUCCUCGCCUGCCAUGUCAUCGAGGAGGUCAUGGACGUCAGGGAAGAAGUCGUCGUCGGGGAAGUAGUCGUCGGCGACCGGAUCGUCUGUGAUGAAGCAGCCAGUAGUCGCACUAAGCGCUCCCCAAAAACCUUAUCACCCUUCUCCCGUACAGGACUCAAAAGGGGCGGUCGCGAAAGCCUACUGUCCCGACGUGCGGUGCACGCCACAAGUCGGGAUGAGGAAGACAGCAGCAGCUCAGAGAUGGAACCGAUGGCGAGGGAAGGAGCAGUUCUGGUGCGUCUCUCUGAGAGGAGCGACCUCCCUUUUAUAGGCGCAAGAGAAGGAGGCGAGAGGCUGCGCCGGGAGCUGAAGGGAAUGCGGGAGACGAAACGAACAGGCAGCAGCCGAAGGGGCGCGCCGUUCGGAUUCAGUGUCCAGGCACAGAAAAAAAAUGUUUCAGCUUCCGAGUGACCUUUCGUAUACCCGUAGUGCGUGGCAAAAAUUUAGACAUCGGCUCGGCUCAUUCCCGCAACCCGCGGCGCGGCGCAUCGUGAUGAGGCGUGGUGAGGCGGGCGGCGGAGGAGGAGCACGCGUGGAUGUCCCUCUUGUUCUCAUGCUCAUACAAGUGGGGAAGGAGCCUCCCUUAUAAAGAGGUCCAACUCCCUCUAAACUAGCAAGGUGGGACUAAACUUUAGUUCCACCUCUUGCCUUGCACGAAUGGGCUGCGUGGGCCUCUAGGAUUUAUUAGGAAUUUCUAAAAUUGCUAUUGGGCUAGGCCCAAAUAGACAAAAAUUCCAGCAAUCCCCCACCAGAUCCCAGAGGCACACAAAAUUUGCCUUUGGUUCCAAAACACUGUUUUAUAUACUGGUACAGCAGUGGAGACUGUUAAGUUGAACUUCCACCUAGAACCCUAUGCUACACUAGUAAGCAACUUGAACAGUGGACUGGGCCUUGAACUGCAAGUUUUCUGCAAAUCUAGCUUCACAUAAGGCCUUGACCGAUACGUGGCUACCGUGGGUCUUCCCCGUGGGUGGAGCUUAUGCGUCAUACUCCGUGACCUUUCAUUAGUUUACUAGAGAGAACCCUACUCUCAUAGAUUGCGACGUUUAACAAUCAGACUCAUAUAGGUGCGUUCUUCAAAAGAUGUUCUGCAGGACAACAUCUCUGCUUCAAAAAGCCACUUAGAACACAUUAAGAUAUAAAUCAACCUGCCAUGCAGAUUAGGAGAGUAUUGCAUCUUCAUGGAGUGGUAUUUUAACAGUAUGGAUACUCUCCUCUCAGUUGACCAACAACUUGUCUUCCACAUCUAAUUCACGGGAUCUCCGAUCAUAAAGAAUAGGUUACCACUAUGAACAACUCAUAUUGUGGGUCUCAUUCCCAUCUCCCUCGAUGCAUUAUCUAUCACAUUACGUGAUAGACCCUUAGUAAAAGGAUCUGCCAGAUUUUUAGACGUUUGGAUAUAAUCCAAUGCAAUAACUCUGGAGUUUUUCAUUUUUCUGACAGACUUUAACCUUCUCUGAACGUGUCUUGAUGACUUCAUGUUAUCCUUUGAGUUGCUCACUUUAGUGAUCACAGUUUGAUUGUCACAGUUCAUCCGGAUACCCGGUACAGGUUUCUCAACUACCGGUAAGUCAUUCAAGAGCCGACGAAGCCAAUCUGCUUCGACCGUACCUGUAUCUAGUGUUGUGAGUUCUGCUUCCAUUGUUGACCUCAUUAAGAUGGUCUGCUUGCAAGACUUCCAAGAAACAGCGCCACCUCCAUGAGUGAAUACAUAACCGCUCGUGGCCUUUAUCUCAUCAGCAUCUGAGAUCCAGUUUGAGUCACUAUACCCUUCAAGCACCUUUGGAUGCCAAGUGUAGUGAAUUCCAUAAUUUGCAGUGCCUUUUAAAUAACGCAAAACUCUCUCUAGAGCUUUCCAAUGCACAUCUCCUGGUUUUGAGACAAACCGGCUUAGUUAGCUAAUAGCAAAAGAGAUGUCAGGUCUCGUAGCACUGGCUAAGUACAUAAGCGAGCCAAUAAUCUGUGAAUAUUUCAAUUGGUCUCUAGUGAUUCUUCGAUUCUUUCGAAGCAACACACUAGCAUCAUAUGGUCUUGGAGAGGGCUUGCAGUCACUGUAGCCAAAGCGGCUCAAGAUCUUUUCCACAUAGUGAGAUUGAAGCAAUGUAAUCCCACCAUCAUCAUCUCUCAACAACUUGAUGUUCAGAAUGACAUCAGCCACUCCUAAAUCCUUCAUCUCAAAACAGCAAGAUAGGAAAUCCUUGACCUCCUUAAGAACAUUCAGAUUUGUUCCGAAAAUCAGUAUGUCAUCAACAUACAAGCAAAGCAUAACUCCCUUGCCCCCACCAUGGCGAUAGUACACACAUUUGUCAGCUUCGUUCACAACAAAGCCUGCAGCUAUUAAAGUUCUUUCGAACUUCUCAUGCCACUGUUUGGGUGCUUGCUUGAGUCCAUACAAAGACUUCAGCAACUUGCACACUUUCCCUUCCUGGCCAUCUAUUACAAACCCCUCUGGUUGUUCCAUAUAAAUUUCCUCAUCCAAAUCUCCAUUUAGGAAAGCAGUCUUAACAUCCAUUUGAUGAACGAGAAGACCAUGUGAGGCAGCUAGUGAAAGUAGACCUCGAAUAGUGGUCAGUCGAGCCACAGGUGAGUAAGUAUCAAAGAAAUCUUCACCUUCCUUUUGGUUAUAACCCUUUGCCACGAGCCGAGCCUUGUACUUUUCAUUAGUACCAUCAGGCCUAAGUUUCUUCUUGAAUACCCAUUUGCAUCCUAUAGGUUUGCACCCAUAAGGACGAUCAGUUAUCUCCCAAGUUUCAUUCGCCAAGAUGGAAUCCAUCUCGCUACGAAUCGCUUCCUUCCAGUAGUCAGCAUCUUCCGAUGCAUAGGCAUCCGAAAUAGAACUGGGAGUGUCAUCUAUGAGAUACACAAGAAAAUCAUCACCAAAGGACUUUGCUGUCCUCUGUCUCUUGCUCCUAGUAGGAACUUCAUUGUUCUCCUCCGCAGGACUUUCAAAGUGUUCCAUCGAAAUGGCAGGUUCAGUAAUUGUAACUGGUUCCUGAUUCGAUGAACUAGGCAUCUCCUAAUUAGAUGAGGUAGCCAUAUCCUUCAUGGGAAUGAUAUCUUCAAAGAAAGUCGCAUCAUUCGACUCCAUGAUCGUACCGACAUGCAUGUCAGAUACCUCAGAUUUUACAACCAAGAAUCUAUAGCCAAUGCUGUGAAAAGCAUAUCCCAGGAAAACACAAUCCACAGUCUUUGGUCCAAGCUUCCGCUUCUUUGGAAUUGGAACAUUGACUUUCGCCAAGCAACCCCAUGUUCGCAGAUAAGAGAGUUUUAACCUUUUCUUCUCCCAUUCCUCGAAUGGAGUUAUCUCUUUGUUCUUUGUGGGGACUCGAUUUAGGACAUGACAUGCUGUCAAUAUCGCCUCCCCCCACCAUGCCUUGGAGAGACCCGAUGUGGCGUUAACCAAAUCAGUUAGAGUACGGUUCUUUCUUUCGGCCACCCCAUUUGACUGAGGUGAGUAGGGAGGCGUCCUCUCAUGGAUUAUACCAUGUUCUGCACAAAAAGCAUCAAAUUCAUUGGAAAAAUACUCUCCACCACAGUCAGACCUAAGCCUCUUGAUUUUUCGAUCAAGUUGGUUUUCCACUUCAGCUUUAUAGAUCUUGAAAAAGUUCAAAGCCUCAUCCUUACAUUUCAGAAGAUACACAUGGCAGUAUCUAGUGGAGUCAUUAAUUAACGUCAUGCAAUAUUUCUUUCCACCUUUUGUCAAAACACCAUUCAUUUCACAUAGAUCUGAAUGUAUAAGUUCUAGUGGUGCAAGAUUUCUCGUCUCCGCAGUCACGUGAGACUUACGAGGUUGCUUAGCUUGCACACACACUUGACACUUAGAUCCUUGACAGUGGUGAAACCAGGGAUUAAGUUCAACUUCGCUAGUCGCGACAUGCAACCAAAGUUAACAUGACAAAGACGUGAAUGCCACACAUUUGAUUCACUAUUGUUGCAAAUAUGAUUAACAACUUUAUUGCAAACGUCUGAUAAGGAUAAACGAAACAGGCCUCCUGACUCAUAGCCUUUACCAACAAAGGUCCCAUACUUGGAUAUUACAAAUUUAUUCGACUCAAAGACAAGCUUAUAGCCAUCUCUACACAGAAGAGAUCCGCUAACAAGAUUUUUAUUGACGGAGGGGACAUAAUGCAUGUUCUUCAGCCGCACGAUCUUCCCUGAAGUAAACUUCAGAUCAACCAUGCCAACACCACGAACAGAAGCACUUGAACUGUUGCCCAUCAGCACGGUUGAAGUCCCUGCGGUCUGAUAAGAUGAAAACAUGGAAAUAUCACCGCAUACAUGCACAUUAGCACCCAUGUCAAUCAACCAACCAGGAGAAUGACAUACUGAAAGAAUAGUGGGAAAUAUACCAUACCCAGCAUCUUUCAUGUCAAUGUGUCCGAUGACAACAUUAGCGGUCUUGCCGCCUUUCCCAGGAUGACGCUUGUCAUAGCGAUUAGGACAACUAGGAGCCCAAUGAUCAGGAUCUCCAAACACAUGACAAGCACCUUUCUUCUUGUCAUUCUUCUUCUUGAAGUUCAUGUGCUGCACAGCCUUGUUCUUCCCAUCGAACUUUGCUUUACCAUCAAACUUGCCCUUGUUCUUGAACUUGUGGGACUGAAAGUUCUUCUUCUGUACCAGAUUGGCACUAGAUCCUCCCUCAAUACCUCGGGCACGUGUGUCCUUUGCUCUCGCCUUUUCUUCCACAUAAGAGUACCAAUGAGAUCCGGGACGGAAAACUCCUGUCUCUUAUGCUUCAGUAAGGUAGCAAAGUUCCUCCAUGAAGGAGGAAGCUUAGUGAUGAUACCCCCGGCAACAAACUUGUCCGGUAAGAUACAAUUGAAGUUCUCAAGUUCUCUAGCAAAAGACUGUAUCUCAUGAGCCUGCUCAACCAUGGAGCGCUCUUCAGUCAUCCUGUAAUCAUAGAAUUAUUCCAUGAUGUACAGCUCAGUGCCGGCAUCCGAGACCCCAAACUUGGCCUCGAGUGUGUCCCACAUAUCUUUUCAUUGUCAAUUGACGCAUAAGCAUCAACUAUGUUCUCACCAAGAACACUCAAAAGAGCAGCCUUAAACAAGGUAUCCAUUUUCUGGAAAUCUUGUGCCUGUUGGGCAUCUUGCUCUCCUUCAGGUUUGCCAAGAGUGGCGUCAUAGAAACUCAUGGUUUGAAACCAUAAGACUGCUCUCACACGCCACCUCUUAUAGUGAAUACCCUCAAACAUAGGAGGUCUCAUGGAAGCAGCAAAAUCACUCAGGGUAAAUUGCCUAUAAUAAGGUUUUUGGAUUGUUGGAAAUAUGAGCAAUUUACCGAAUGAUUUUAUUAACAAAAAUACUAGAUAAAGCAUGACUAAAAUAGCAAAUAUAAAGCAAGUCAUGCAGUCUGAGAGAUAGAAGGUAAACAUCGUCUGCAUAUAUGAACUUGAGCUAAACACAUCUAGAACAGACACUAGAUGAAGUUGCUUAUACGAAACAGAACCUAACAUACGUAGGGCAAAAUCUAGAGCCAAGAACUGUAGCAGGACUUCUAACAGAAAGGAGAAGAACACGUACGGCACAGCAGCAGCAGAAGCGCUGGACUUGGGUUGCUGUCCUCGCCUGCCAUGUCAUCGAGGAGGUCAUGGACGUCAGGGAAGAAGUCGUCGUCGGCGGGGAAGUAGUCGUCGGCGACCGGAUCGUCUGUGAUGAAGCAGCCAGUAGUCGCACUGAGCACUCCCCAAAAACCUUAUCACCCUUCUCUCGUACAAGACUCAAAAGGUGCGGUCGCGAAAGCCUACUGUCCCGACGUGCGGUGCACGCCGCAAGUCGGGAUGAGGAAGACAGCAGCAGCUCAGAGAUGGAACCGAUGGCGAGGGAAGGAGCAGUUCUGGUGCGUCUCUCUGAGAGGAGCGACCUCCCUUUUAUAGGCGCAAGAGAAGGAGGCGAGAGGCUGCGCCGAGAGCUGAAGGGAAUGCGGGAGACGAAACGAACAGGCAGCAGCCGAAGGGGCGCACCAUUCGGAUUCAGUGUCCAGGCACAGAAAAAAAAUGUUUCAGCUUUCGAGUGACCUUUCGUAUACCCGUAGUGCGUGGCAAAAAUUUAGACAUCGGCUCGGCUCAUUCCCGCAACCCGCGGCGCGGCGCAUCGUGACGAGGCGUGGUGAGGCAGGCGGCGGAGGAGGAGCGCACGUGGAUGUCCCUCUUGUUCUCAUGCUCAUACAAGUGGGGAAGGAGCCUCCCUUAUAAAGAGGUCCAACUCCCUCUAAACUAGCAAGGUGGGACUAAACUUUAGUUCCACCUCUUGCCUUGCACGAAUGGGCUGCAUGGGCCUCUAGGAUUUAUUAGGAAUUUCUAAAAUUGCUAUUGGGCUAGGCCCAAAUAGACAAAAAUUCCAGCAAUCCCCCACCAGAUCCCAGAGGCACAAAAAAUUUGCCUUUGGUUCCAAAACACUGUUUUAUAUACUGGUACAGCAGUGGAGACUGUUAAGUUGAACUUCCACCUAGAACCCUAUGCUACACUAGUAAGCAACUUGAACAGUGGACUGGGCCUUGAACUGCAAGUUUUCUGCAAAUCUAGCUUCACAUAAAGCCUUGACCGAUACGUGGCUACCGUGGGUCUUCCCCGCGGGUGGAGCUUAUGCGUCAUACUCCAUGACCUUUCAUUAGUUUACUAGAGAGAACCCUACUCUCAUAGAUUGCGACGUUUAACAAUCAGACUCAUAUAGGUGCGUUCUUCAAAAGAUGUUCUGCAGGACAACAUCUCUGCUUCAAAAAGCCACUUAGAACACAUUAAGAUAUAAAUCAACCUGCCAUGCAGAUUAGGAGAGUAUUGCAUCUUCAUGGAGUGGUAUUUUAACAGUAUGGAUACUCUCCUCUCAGUUGACUAACAGCUUGUCUUCCACAUCUAAUUCACGGGAUCUCCGAUCAUAAAGAAUAGAUUACCACUGUGAACAACUCAUAUUGUGGGUCUCAUUCCCAUCUCCCUCGAUGCAUUAUCUAUCACAUUACGUGAUAGACCCUUAGUAAAAGGAUCUGCCAGAUUUUUAGACGUUUGGAUAUGAUCCAAUGCAAUAACUCUGGAGUUUUUCAUUUUUCUGACAGACUAACCUUCUCUGAACGUGUCUUGAUGACUUCAUGUUAUCCUUUGAGUUGCUCACUUUAGUGAUCACAGUUUGAUUGUCACAGUUCAUCCGGAUACCCGAUACAGGUUUCUCAACUACCGGUAAGUCAUUCAAGAGCAGACGAAGCCAAUCCGCUUCAACCGUACAUGUAUCUAGUGUUGUGAGUUCUACUUCCAUUGUUGACCUCGUUAGAUGGUCUGCUUGCAAGACUUCCAAGAAACAGCGCCACCUCCAUGAGUGAAUACAUAACCGCUCGUGGCCUUUAUCUCAUCAACAUCUGAGAUCCAGUUUGAGUUACUAUACCCUUCAAGCACCUUUGGAUGCCCAGUGUAGUGAAUUCCAUAAUUUGCAGUGCCUUUCAAAUAACGCAAAACUCUCUCUAGAGCUUUCCAAUGCACAUCUCCUGGUUUUGAGACAAACCGGCUUAGUUAGCUAACAGCAAAAGAGAUGUCAGGUCUCAUAGCACUGGCUAAGUACAUAAGCGAGCCAAUAAUCUGUGAAUAUUUCAAUUGGUCUCUAGCGAUUCUUCGAUUCUUUCGAAGCAACACACUAGCAUCAUAUGGUGUUGGAGAGGGCUUGCAGUCACUAUAGCCAAAGCGGCUCAAGAUCUUUUCCACAUAGUGAGAUUGAAGCAAUGUAAUCCCACCAUCAUCAUCUCUCAACAACUUGAUGUUCAGAAUGAGAUCAGCCACUCCUAAAUCCUUCAUCUCAAAACAGCAAGAUAGGAAAUCCUUGACCUCCUUAAGAACAUUCAGAUUUGUUCCGAAAAUCAGUAUGUCAUCAACAUACAAGCAAAGCAUAACUCCCUCGCCCCCACCAUGGCGAUAGUACACACAUUUGUCAGCUUCGUUCACAACAAAGCCUGCAGCUAUUAAAGUUCUUUCGAACUUCUCAUGCCACUGUUUGGGUGCUUGCUUGAGUCCAUACAAAGACUUCAGCAACUUGCACACUUUCCCUUCCUGGCCAUCUAUUACAAACCCCUCUGGUUGUUCCAUAUAAAUUUCCUCAUCCAAAUCUCCAUUUAGGAAAGCAGUCUUAACAUCCAUUUGAUGAACGAGAAGACCAUGUGAGGUAGCUAGUGAAAGUAGACCUCGAAUAGUGGUCAGUCGAGCCACAGGUGAGUAAGUAUCAAAGAAGUCUUCACCUUCCUUUUGGGUAUAACCCUUUUCCAUGAGCCAAGCCUUGUACUUUUCAUUAGUACCAUCAGGCCUAAGUUUCUUCUUGAAUACCCAUUUGCAUCCUAUAGGUUUGCACCCAUAAGGACGAUCAGUUAUCUCCCAAGUUUCAUUCGCCAAGAUGGAGUCCAUCUCGCUACGAAUCGCUUCCUUCCAGUAGUCAGCAUCUUCCGAUGCAUAGGCAUCCGAAAUAGAACUGGGAGUGUCAUCUAUGAGAUACACAAGAAAAUCAUCAGCAAAGGACUUUGCUGUCCUCUGUCUCUUGCUCCUAGUAGGAACUUCAUUGUUCUCCUCCGCAGGACUUUCAAAGUGUUCCAUCGAAAUGGCAGGUUCAGUAAUUGUAACUGGUUCCUGAUUCGAUGAACUAGGCAUCUCCUAAUUAGAUGAGGUAGCCAUAUCCUUCAUGGGAAUGAUAUCUUCAAAGAAAGUCGCAUCAUUCGACUCCAUGAUCGUACCGACAUGCAUGUCAGAUACCUCAGAUUUUACAACCAAGAAUCUAUAGCCAAUGCUGUGAAAAGCAUAUCCCAGGAAAACACAAUCAACAGUCUUUGGUCCAAGCUUCCGCUUCUUUGGAAUUGGAACAUUGACUUUCGCCAAGCAACCCCAUGUUCGCAGAUAAGAGAGUUUUAACCUUUUCUUCUCCCAUUCCUCGAAUGGAGUUAUCUCUUUGUUCUUUGUGGGGACUCGAUUUAGGACAUGACAUGCUGUCAAUAUCGCCUCCCCCCACCAUGCCUUGGAGAGACCCGAUGUGGCGUUAACCAAAUCAGUUAGAGUACGGUUCUUUCUUUCGGCCACCCCAUUUGACUGAGGUGAGUAGGGAUGCGUCCUCUCAUGGAUUAUACCUUGUUCUGCACAAAAAGCAUCAAAUUCAUUGGAAAAAUACUCUCCACCACGGUCAGACCUAAGCCUCUUGAUUUUUCGAUCAAGUUGGUUUUCCACUUCAGCUUUAUAGAUCUUGAAAAAGUUCAAAUCCUCAUCCUUACAUUUCAGAAGAUACACAUGGCAGUAUCUAGUGGAGUCGUUAAUUAACGUCAUGAAAUAUUUCUUUCCACGUUUUGUCAAAACACCAUUCAUUUCACAUAGAUCUGAAUGUAUAAGUUCUAGUGGUGCAAGAUUUCUCGUCUCCGCAGUCAUGUGAGACUUACGAGGUUGCUUAGCUUGCACACACACUUGACACUUAGAUCCCUUGACAGUGGUGAAACUAGGGAUUAAGUUCAACUUCGCUAGCCGCGACAUGCAACCAAAGUUAACAUGACAAAGACGUGAAUGCCACACAUUUGAUUCACUAUUGUUGCAAAUAUGAUUAACAACUUUAUUGCAAAUGUCUGAUAAGGAUAAACGAAACAGGCUUCCUGACUCAUAGCCUUUGCCAACAAAAGUUCCAUACUGGGAUAUUACAAAUUUAUUCGACUCAAAUACAAGCUUAUAGCCAUCUCUACACAGAAGAGAUCCGCUAACAAGAUUGUUAUUGACGGAGGGGACAUAAUGCACGUUCUUCAGCCGCACGAUCUUCCCCGAAGUAAACUUCAGAUCGACCAUGCCAACACCACGAACAGAAGCACUUGAACCGUUGCCCAUCAGCACGGUUGAAGUCCCUGCGGUCUGAUCAGAUGAAAACAUGGAAAUAUCACUGCAUACAUGCACAUUAGCACCCAUGUCAAUCAACCAAUCAGGAGAAUGACAUACUGAAAGAAUAGUGGGAAAUAUACCAUACCCAGCAUCUUUCAUGUCAAUGUCUCCGAUGACAACAUUAGCGGUCUUGCCGCCUUUCCCAGGAUGACGCUUGUCAUAGAGAUUAGGACAAAUAGGAGCCCAAUGAUCAGGCUCUCCACACACAUGACAAGCACCUUUCUUCUUGUCAUUCUUCUUCUUGAAGUUCGUGUGCUGCACAGCCUUGUUCUUCCCAUCGAACUUUGCUUUACCAUCAAACUUGCCCUUGUUCUAGAACUUGUGGGACUGGAAGUUCUUCUUCUGUACUAGAUUGGCACUAGAUCCUCCCUCAAUACCUCGAGCACGUGUGUCCUUUGCUCUCGCCUUUUCUUCCACAUCAAGAGUACCAAUGAGUUCCGGGACGGAAAACUCCUGUCUCUUAUGCUUCAGUAAGGUAGCAAAGUUCCUCCACGAAGGAGGAAGCUUAGUGAUGAUACCCCCGGCAACAAACUUGUCCGGUAAGAUACAAUUGAAGUGCUCAAGUUCUCUAGCAAAGGACUGUAUCUCAUGAUCCUGCUCAACCACGGAGCGCUCUUCAGUCAUCAUGUAAUCAUAGAAUUGCUCCAUGAUGUACAAUUCAGUGCCGGCAUCCGAGACCCCAAACUUGGCCUCAAGUGCGUCCCACAUAUCUUUUCUAUUGUCAAUUGACGCAUAAGCAUCAACUAUGUUCUCACCAAGAACACUCAAAAGAGCAGCCUUAAACAAGGUAUCCAUUUUCAGAAAAGCUUGUGCCUGUUGGGCAUCUUGCUCUCCUUCAGGUUUGCCAAGAGUGGCGUCAUAGCAACUCAUGGUUUGAAACCAUAAGACUGCUCUCACGCGCCACCUCUUAUAGUGGAUACCCUCAAACAUACGAGCUCUCAUGGAAGCAGCAAAACCACUCGGGGUAAAUUGCCUAUAAUAAGGUUUUUGGAUUGUUGGAAAUAUGAGCAAUUUACCGAAUGAUUUUAUUAACAAAAAUACUAGAUAAAGCAUGACUAAAAUAGCAAAUAUAAAACAAGUCAUGCAGUCUGACAGAGAGAAGGUAAACAUCGUCUGCAUAUAUGAACUUGAGCUAAACACAUCUAGAACAUACACUAGAUGAAGUUGCUUAUACGAAACAGAACCUAACAUACGUAGGGCAGAAACUAGAGCCAAGAACUGUAGCAGGACUUCUAACAGAAAGGAGAAGAACACGUACGGCAUAGCAGCAGCAGAAGCGCUGGACUUCGGGUCGGUGUCCUCGCCUGCCAUGUCGUCGAGGAGGUCGUGGACGUCGGGGAAGAAGUCGUCGUCGGGGAAGUAGUCGUCGGCGACCGGAUCGUCCGUGAUGAAGCAGCCAGUAGUCGCGCUGAGCGCUCCCCAAAAACCUUAUCACCCUUCUCCCGUACAGGACUCAAAAGGUGCGGUCUCGGAGGCCUACUAUCCCGACGUGCGGUGCACGCCGCAAGUCGGGAUGAGGAAGACAGCAGCAGCUCAGAGAUGGAACCGAUGGCGAGGGAAGGAGCAGUUCUGGUGCGUCUCUCUGAGAGGAGCGACCUCCCUUUUAUAGGCGCAAGAGAAGGAGGCGAGAGGCUGCGCCGGGAGCUGAAGGGAAUGCGGGAGACGAAACGAACAUGCAGCAGCCGAAGGGGCGCGCCUUCGGAUUCAGUGUCCAGGCACAGAAAAAAAUGUUUCAGCUUCCGAGUGACCUUUCGUAUACCCGUAGUGCGUGGCAAAAAUUUAGACAUCGGCUCGGCUCAUUCCCGCAACCCGCGGCGCGGCAUGACGAGGCGUGGUGAGGCGGGCGGCGGAGGAGGAGCGCGCGUGGAUGUCCCUCUUGUUCUCAUGCUCAUACAAGUGGAGAAGGAGCCUCCCUUAUAAAGAGGUCCAACUCCCUCUAAACUAGCAAGGUGGGACUAAACUUUAGUUCCACCUCUUGCCUUGCACGAAUGGGCUGCGUGGUCCUCUAGGAUUUAUUAGGAAUUUCUGAAACUGCUAUUGUGCUAGGCCCAAAUAGACAAAAAUUCCAGCAGUUUGUGUUCUUCAGGUCUCCACUUGCCAUGAUAUUGCGGCUGGGCUUCGGGUAUGUGUUACCACUGAUACAUCAUUCCAAACUACUAAUGAAUUGGUCUCUGAUGUCUUCUUCUCAAUUUUAACUAGGGCCUGCUUCUGUUUGCACCAAUUCGAGAUAGUGGUUGUGGAAUGCAGCAGCCAAGACAACAAGGUCAGGCUCGGCUUAGGUAUGAUGACAAACAAAAUUAGAUUCGGAUGGUUCCUUACAUCUUCCUCUCAGAAUCAAGAGUGAUAAUACUUUUUUGGUGCUCCGGCUUCUGCAGUUUCUGAAGAACUGAUUCGUUGUUCAGGCAUUUCAUGCAUUUGGAGUUCACAGGUAUCUAAGUUUCUCUGACUGUGUUUUCAAAUAAUUGAUACUUGACAUUAGGAUUUUUGGCUGAACAAAUCAUCUUAGACAUAAGUAGAACCCGGCAAAUUGUGAGACAGAGCUAAUUGAUACACAGUUUAGAAAAUAGAACUGAACAAUUCUUGGUAGUCACUAUUGAUUAGCUAUGUGCGUACCUUAAGUUCCUUACUACUUAUUUUAAUUGUUAGUACUUGAAGGUUUGAAUAAUUAUUAUUACCAAGUUACAUGUUGAUCACUACUUAUUAUGAAAAUGUAUGUCCAUGGUUUAAAGGAGCUUUAUUGUUUCAGUCUAUACUAAGUUAUUUGUCGGUUAUACUGGAGCUUAUAUUGUUCCCUCUUUGAUCUAGACAUCAAAUAUUCUAAGCUUCAUUUUUGUGAGCAAACGGUUCUAUGCUUCCUUUUUGUGAACAUUGCUCCAUAAAUAGUAGUGGCAUUUACUAUGCAGAUGAUACUGACAAAUUAUCAUACAAGUCCGCAUUAAUAUUCAGUCAGUAGGUUAUUGAAGAAGGCCGGAGAUCGCGUGGAGCACCAACAAUAACCUCAAGUAGAUGCAGCAGAGACAUGUGAUGAACUAUCAUAUGUUUCCUAAUCUGAAUGUUUGCUCCAAUCGCUUGAUUGUUUGAUCUGGUUUGUUGUGACAAUACAAUGAUUUUCUAUGUUCUUUUUGUGGUGCAAUCUCCGUUGAUUUGGAAAGAUGGGGACUUUCUGUUGAGCUAUUUCGAUCGGCCAUUGGCCAUAACAUUCCAAAUUCCUUAUUUUGUUUCCUCUUUUUCGCGGCUUCAUUUUACGUGUCUCACUAAAGGUGGGCAUGACUUGAAAAGGGAGGCAAACAAAACUGCCAAGAUGCAUCUCUUUUGCAGCAGAAGAAGAGGCACUGAUGAGAGGUGGAAAAGGAGGGGCAAAGAAGGAAGCCAUGGGCAUGUGCCGCCUACCGACCAUGAAUAUCAACAAUGACAAUGACGACUAGCUUGUGUGCGUGUGAGAGAGGGAGGGAGAGGGAGUCAAAACAAAAUGAUGUAUAUCUUUACUACAUUAUAAAAUGGGAUUUGGUGAGCUAUUUGUCCUUUAUGAUUCAUGAGAUUUUAAUUCUAUAGUGUUUUUUGCUCUUAAUAUAUUAUUGUGGUUAUAGAUUUAUCAUUGACACAAUAUAUGUAGAAACUUUUUUGAUCUAAAUAAGAAGAACAAAAGUUUACGGGAUGCUUUUUGAUCGUUCCCUUUACCUAGCUUCCAAUUUCUAUUGUCAGAAACACAUUUUUUUUGUUCCUAUAGGAAACAUAUGCAAAUAAAAGAUUUGCCGAAGCUUUUUGAGUCCCUGAUGCAUACUAAAUACAGUCCUAGAACAAUAUGCUUAUGCAUAAUAACAAGCUGGAAAAUUGCUCCAAAAUAACACUUAAAACAUAUAAAAGAACAAAAAAAUCCAUUCUGAAUUCUAAAAUGAUCUUUCAAUGUAUGCAGCAAACUGCUUCCUUUAUAAUCUGACAAAACUCGCAGGACUUAUCAUGACGCAUGAAAGGAUAUAGUAAACCAUCACACCGAAGCCGAGGUUGGCUUUGUUUCCUUAUUUUUGCGAGAAGGUGUCAUAGUUCUACUAUUUUGAUUAGCCAUCUAGAGGGAUGACAGUGCAUGCAAUCAUUUAAAUAAAAUAAUACAAAGAUGCUGCAUGAGUCAUCAAUUCAAACAAGAACUUGUUUCAUGUGAUUUUUUGUGUAAAGUGGAAACAAAUUAUUUUUAUAACAACUAAUUCGACAACACAAGUGCUACACCGUGAUCAGUAUAUGCAUAUGAUACGAUCUAGCUAUUUUCCUUUGCACGGGUGGUUUUUAUCAUGAGGUAGGAGGGUUCGUACAAGUCGACUAUCAGCUCUCAUGCAAUGCUUUAAAAAGAAAAACGAGAGGAAUUUGUGAAUUUUUGUAUAACAUUGCAAAUUAUAUGAAAAAACUUUUUAAUUUGUCAGAACUUUUAGGAGGGAGUGAGUGGCAAAUGUUGGAAGACAUUCAAAGUUAGGAUGAUGGGAAUGCCUAUGGCAAUUUGGAGAACUUGGAGAAAACAUAUGCGAACUUGAGCUAGGUAGCAAUGUAGAGCUUAAUUAAGCUAAAUGGUUCAUAUUCAUUUGUUAGUCCAUGAGUUCGAGAUGAUGGACUCAACAAUUGGAUAGAUUUGGAGGGAACACGAAUUUGGAGUAGUGUGACAACAUAGCGAAGUAAUGACACAAUGGUCGAAGGGCUGAAGUUGAGGGGCUUGUGAUAGAUCCAUUUGUUGGCCCGUGGCUGCGCACGGGCGUUCUACUAGUAAUCAUUGGUGGCUUCUUUGACCACCAGACGGCUUAUUGACUUCUUCCACUCGAGGAUCACCGUGGAGCAAUCCUUCUUCCCCUUCCUACAGAAGCACGCCAACCACAAACAAAUGCUCAAAAAGACCUUAGCAAAUGCCAUUGAACUAGAUUGUAGGCAAGAGGAAUCUUAUUAGUUGGUAGAUGUAGAUGUCGAGGCCUCAUCAUUGCUUGCCAGAGGCCUCAUGUGUAUGUCGUGCGUCCCACCAGAGGCCUCUUUUAAUUAGAGGAAGGGCGGUGCGGAGAAGACAUCAUUAGUCACCCUGGGAGAAGAAAGUUCGGUGGCGGUGCGUGUAAAGAGGAGACUUUGGUAGUUUCUGGUGGAGUUGUGGUAGCCGUAGGGACGACGAGAGUGAGAGAGGACUGGGGACGGAGGAGAGGUGAUGGAUGGAAAAAAAUUGGGUGAUUGAGGACGAAAACCAAGAUGAAAANNNNNNNNNNNNNNNNNNNNNNNNNNNNNNNNNNNNNNNNNNNNNNNNNNNNNNNNNNNNNNNNNNNNNNNNNNNNNNNNNNNNNNNNNNNNNNNNNNNNNNNNNNNNNNNNNNNNNNNNNNNNNNNNNNNNNNNNNNNNNNNNNNNNNNNNNNNNNNNNNNNNNNNNNNNNNNNNNNNNNNNNNNNNNNNNNNNNNNNNNNNNNNNNNNNNNNNNNNACUAGAUGUCUCUGUAGUGAAGUAAUAUGAGCAUAACUUAAUUGAUCAGUGUAAAACUUUGAAUUGGUUAAGUAUACUACACUAAAGUAAGUUGUAAAGCCUAAUUGCAAUUAUAUCUUUGAGGGCAAUGCUUAUGAGUUGCGUGACAAUCUUGUCUGUUCUGGAUCUUGCAUCUGAUUCUAAUUAAACAGUACAUGUUAGAUGUUUUUAAUGAGGUCCACGUUAGAUUUGAUUGUUAAUUUAUAGUGCGGGUGAAAGCGGAUUCUAUCCUUUUCGUCUGCCAUUUUUCCUUUCAUAAAAUGUGUCCAUGGAGUAAUUCUCCACAAAAACAAACUUAACUGGACAAAAUAUCCACGGCAAGUCGCAUAUCUUGUGCAACUGUUCACUGUUGAAAGCUUAUUGUGCCACUACCCAUCAUUGCAAGGAAAAAAUACAGAAGAUUUAUGUUCUACCAAAUACAUUCUUUUGUUCAGAUUUAGCCAGGUAUGAUCCUGGUUGCGUCAGCCAUUAGAGUACAUUGCGAUCGACUAGACAGUUUCAGUGCUCAUCUUGCCUACUUUUGCAGCACUAGAUUUGCGAUCAGGUAGAUAAACACAACAACAAAGGAGACGACAGAUGCCAGCGGCCCAUAUUUCCCAAGAAUUCUCUGUGGGUUAAUUCCAUAAUACGGAUUGAAUUCUCUACUGGCACGGAAUCCAGCAACAAGGGCCACACCAUGCUGACACUAGCAGCUAUGUGUUGCUCCCGUGGGCAAGACCUGCCCAAGGAGGAUAGGUAAGAGAAAUGGCUGAAGACACACCAACACCUGGCAACAUGUAGGUUCAUAUUUCACCCCCACCCUUGGAUAAAACCGUGAAUCAUUUGAAACAUAUUAAAACUUGAGUGCAUUUUUUAUUUUGGAGAAAUAUAUAUGCUCACAAGAGCUUAGGAGUCACACGUCGGUUCUAGGUAAUUAAACAAACAAGAACAUUCACUUGUUGAGAAAUUUUACCACCUCUUCUUGCUUCUUUUAUGACACUAGAACUUGACGGGCUUUGGGUCACCUCCUUUUCGGUUUAUAAGGCUUGCGCGUAUCUCUAGGUUGACAAAUAGACCAACUUAAUACAAGUUGUAUAUCACAAAAAAUAUAUAAUUAGGAACUUCAAAUCGUAUACUUUCUAAUGGUAUAAUUUUUAGACUAUACAACUCAUGUUAUGUUGGUCAAGUUAUAGAUCCAGGGAUAUGUACAAGCCUUAUAAACCGGAAAGGAGGUAUGUUAGUAGAUAAACAUGCCAAUUAAGGACUUCUUGACAAGUCUAUGCAGAUUAAAGGUAUGUUAGUAGAUGGUGUAAUAAAUACAUGCUUUUAGCUAUCUAAGGAUACAAAUAUGCCACUAUUUACUUUGUAAAUGCUCGAAAUCAUUCUCAGAAAUUUUAGUAACAACAGUUGUCAUGAACAACUUGGACUAAAUGCAUCAAAUGUUACAAAUAAUACAUAAAAACAUUCAAAUGUACUUAGAGUGAAUCAAUUAAGACGUGUAAAGCUAGUACUAAUCCAAUAUUUCUUAAUGACUUGCAUAUACUUACAACACUUGACGUAAAGAGUGAAUCAAUUAAGACGUGCAAAGCCAGUACUAAUCCAAUUUUAUUAAUAGCUUCCACAAAAUUACAACACGUGGCGUAAAAAGGGAAUAUGAUGAGUCAUGUAUUGAUAACGUGUACAACAUUACUACCCUUGACAUAAAAAGAGAAGUUGAUGAGUCAUGUCUUAAUAACGUGUACAACAUUACUAUCAGCUUGUUCAUCUUACCAUCAUACUAUACAACACUAUAAGUUAGUUUAAAAAAGAAUAAGAGUCCAGAACAAACAUCACAAUACUAGCCUGAUCUAUAUUAACAACAUGCACAAGGACACAAAUUUAGUUCCCCGCAAGCUAUGAAGAUUUGGUUUAUGUCUAACAACUUGUACAAUAUGACAAACUUAGAUCCAAAAGGAAUGCAAACCAGAUAAUUGUAAUGCAAUCCAGAUAAUUAUUUGACAUGCAAAGUGAAUAAGAUGAGUCACUACCAAUUAUCAAGUUUUCCUCACUCUUAGAUGAUAUGAACCAUAAAAAGGCAACUUUGAUGAUCACUCCAUAAUUACGUUUGUAUGUAGUGCCACCAAACACAACACACAAAAUAAUUAGUUCGAUAAGCAUCGAAUCACUUUAAAAAGGAAAGCAAAAAUGGAAAGAAACCUAACCAUGGGAGCUAUAAAAAGGCCUGCAAUAUGUAGACUCCAUACCAUCAUCCAUCCUUCACACAACUAGAGCACAAGUAUCAAAUCCAAGUACGUAGUGGUUAACGCAAAUUAACCAUGAAGACCUUACUCAUCCUAACAAUCCUUGUGAUGGCAGUAACCAUCGGCACCGCCAAUAUGCAGGUCGACCCUAGCGGCCAAGUACAAUGGCCACAACAACAACCAGUCCUGCUGCCUCAGCAACCAUUCUCCCAGCAACCACAACAAACAUUUCCCCAACCCCAACAAACAUUCCCCCAUCAACCACAACAACAAUUUCCCCAGCCUCAACAACCACAACAACAAUUUCUCCAGCCACAACAACCAUUCCCCCAACAACCACAACAACCAUAUCCCCAGCAACCACAACAACCAUUCCCCCAGACUCAACAACCCCAACAACUAUUUCCCCAGUCCCAGCAACCACAACAACCAUAUCCCCAGCAACCACAACAACCAUUCCCCCAGACUCAACAACCCCAACAACAAUUUCCCCAAUCCCAGCAACCACAAUAACCAUUUCCCCAACCCCAACAACCGCAACAAUCAUUCCCCCAGCAACAACCAUCGUUCAUUCAGCCAUCUCUACAACAACAGCUGAACCCAUGCAAGAAUUUACUCUUGCAGCAAUGCAGACCUGUGUCAUUGGUCUCAUCCCUCUGGUCAAUGAUCUGGCCACAAAGCGCUUGCCAAGUGAUGAGGCAACAAUGCUGCCAACAACUAGCACAGAUUCCUCAGCAGCUCCAGUGUGCAGCCAUCCAUAGCGUCGUGCAUUCCAUCAGCAUGUAGCAAGAACAACAACAACAACAACAACAACAACAACAACAACAACAACAACAACAACAACAACAACAACAACAACAACAACAACAACAACAACAACAACAAGGCAUGCGUAUCCUGCUGCCACUAUAUCAGCAACAACAGGUGGGUCAAGGUACUCUCGUCCAGGGCCAGGGCAUCAUCCAACCCCAACAACCAGCUCAAUUGGAGGCGAUCAGGUCAUUGGUGUUGCAAACUCUUCCAACCAUGUGCAACGUGUAUGUCCCACCUGAGUGCUCUAUCAUCAAGGCACCAUUUGCCAGCAUAGUCACCGGAAUUGGUGGCCAAUGAAAAACGCAAGAGCCAUACUAAUAGGUAGAUGGAUCAUCGUUGCUUAGCUGAUUUACCAAUCGAUGUAACGAUGCCAAAUAAACUGGUGUGCACCAUCAUGUGUCAUCCUGACCAGUGCUAGUUCAAGAUUGGGAAUAAAAGAGAAGAACGUUCAUGUUUGCCAACAUUGCUUGUCAUUGUUCCAUUCACUGUGUAUUUAUAUUUUCAUCCUGAACUGCAAUUCUAGUCUUACACAUCAAUAGCUAGUUGCUCAUGUCGGCAGGUUCCUAUGUAAUCUAAUGAUUAAUGGUCGACCUAUUAAUCUAGUUUAUCGGCCGAUUGAUCUAUUAAUUGGUGCUCCCAAGCCGACCGAGCAGCCAUCAGUUACCGAUUUCCUGAACAUUGCACACAAUAAUAAUUCAACGUAUUUCAAUGUCUAGAAGUAAAAGGGCCAUAUAAGCAGUAAAACAAGCGCCUGAUUAGAAACCAUCCAUCACUUUAAAUUAAUCUAGAUAUUUUUGUGUUGGUGCAAUUUUGAGUUGAUGGCACCGACACAUUCUUGAAAGAAAUUCUACAGGGAACUCCAAAGAGGUGAAAAUCAAACUAAAGUUGCCACAUGGUAAAAGAUAAAUCAUGCGGCAAGCAAGAGGAAAUAUUGAGUCACAAUAGCUAGCGCCAAACAUGUAAUUAAACUAUUCUUAUGGUUUCUUGCAAAGAGGGAAGUAAUUUACAGAUGACAAACAAAACGUAAUUAGCAUUAGUUCUAAUUGAUUGUAGAAAUUUCUUUUAUCGGUAGAAUAACUCAGUUGUUAUUUAUUUAAACAUGCACUGUGAUAUUGACUUAUCUCAAUCUAGGAACACAAAGCAAAUACUACAUUUGCUGCUAUGGACUCCAAACAGAUGAGAAAUCAUUAUGUGUAGAAGUUCCUUAGAAGGAUAUUUUGGCCUAAACAAAUUUAACAUUGUACUCGUGUCUUACAUAGUUAAAGCUGAAAAAUCAACAUAACCAGUGGACACUUUGUAAGACAAGUGUGGGAAACAAAUAGUAGGAUAUAAAUUUGAGUAGAAUGUUUGCUCAAAUGUUGAAAAAAUAACCCAGCAAACUAAAACUCAGCAAAACAGUCUAUUCUACCUUAUACGGACUGUCACAAUGAUAAUGCUAUGUUUUUUUGGAAUACAAAUUCAAAAAAAAUCAGCCACAGAUCCCUGAGCCCAUCCAACAGGAGAGCUUCAAUUGAAAGAAGUAUUAGUUCGAUUAGACCAUGUAGUACCUAAAGGAGGAUGGUGGCCCCAUGGAACAACUCCAGCCUUUCCAUUGUGUCCGGGCGCAAUGCGAUAAUGGAGUUAUGGUCAUUGGUGGCUUCGCUGGCCAUAGACGGCUUAUUGACUUCUUCCACUUGAGGAUCACCGUGAACCAGUCCUUCUUCCCCAUCCUACAUAAGCAUGCCAACCACAAAUAAAUGCUCAAAAAGACCAUCUUAAAUGUCAUUGAACCGGAUUAUGGGAGGCAGAAUCUUAUGACUCGGUGGAUGCAGAUAUCGAGGCCUCAUUUGUAUGUUGUGCCUCCCACCAGAGGUGUCUUCUAAUUAGAGUGGUGCGAGAAGACAAUAUAAGCCACCGUGCAAGCGAAACAAUUAGGAGGCACUGCUUGUAAAGCGGAGAAUUUGGCACUGUCUGGUGGCAUUGCGGUAGCCGCAGGGUGGAAGAGAGAGAGGGAGGGAGGGAGGGAGGAUGAAUCGGAAAACCAGGAGCAGGGGUGAUCAACGAUGAAAACCAAGAUGAAAAAACAAUGUGCAAGAGAGGAAGAGGAAUAGGCUAGCUAUUUCUGUAGUGAAGUAAUAUGAGCAUAACUUAACCCAUAGGUGUGGAACUUGGAUUCGGUUGAAGUAUAUACUAUACUAAAGUAAGCUGACUAAUUGCAAUUUAAAUCUUUGGUGGCAAUGCUUAUGAGUUGUGAGGCCAUCUUGACUAUUCUGGAUCUUGCAUAUGAUUCUAAUUAAACAGUAUAUGUCAGAUGUUUUUAAAGAGGCACACAUUAUAUUUGAUUGUUGAUUUACACAUUCUAAUUAAACAUUAUAUGUCAGAUGUUUCUAAUGAGGCCCACGUUAGAUUUGUAUGUUGAUUUACAAAGGGAUUGAUAAGUUGAUUCUAUCCUUUUUCCUCUGCCAUUCUUCCUUUCAUAAAAUGUGUCCAUCGAGUAAUUAUCCACAAUAACAAACAUGACUAGACAAAAUAUCCACGACAAGUUGCAUAUCUUGUGCAACUGUUCACUGGUGAAAGGCUAUUGUGCCACUAUCCAUCAUUGCAAGGAAAAAACACAAAAGAUUUAUGUUCUAUCAAAUAUAUUAUUUUGUUUGGAUUUAGCCAGGUAAGAUCCUGGUUGCGUCGGCCAUUAGAGUACCUUGCGAUCGACUAGACAGUUUCAGCAUAUCUUCUUGCCUCCUUUUGCAUCACUAGAUUUCGAUGGGCUUGCGAACAGGAAGAUAAACACGGCAACAAAGGAGACGAGAGAUGCCAGUGAUCCAUAUUUCCAAAUAAUUCUCUGCAAGUGAAUUCCAAAGAAUGCAUUGAAUUUUGUGCUGGCGUAGAAUCCAGCAGCAAGGGAAACACCAUGCUGACGCUAGGAGCUACGUGCUGCUACCGCGAGCUCCCAUGGCAAGACCUGCCCAGGGAGGACCGGCAAGAGAAACGGCUGAAGACACACCAAGACCCGGCAACAUGUAGGUUCAUAUUUCACCCCCACCCUCAGAUAAAAAUGUGAAUCAUUUCAAACAUAUUAAAACUUGAGUGGAUUUUUUUAUUUCGGAAAAAUAUGCCCACAAGAGCUCAGGAGUCAACGUCAGUUCUAGGUAAUUAAACAAACAAGAAGAUUGACUUGUUGAGCAAUUUUACUACAUUUUCUUGCUUCCUUUUACGACACUAGAACUUGAUGGACUUCCGGUCAGCUAGAUAAACAUGCCAAUAAAGGACUUCUUGACAAGUCUGUGCAGAUUAAAGGUAUGUUAGUAGGUGGUGUAAUAACACAUGAUUUUAGCUAUCUAAGGAUACAAAUAUGCCACUAUUUAUUUUGUAAAUGCUGGAAAUCAUUGUCGGAAAUCUUAGUAACAACAGUUGUCAUGAACAACUUCGACUAAAUGCAUCAAAUGUUAGGAAUAAUACAUACUAACUUAGUUCAAUAAAUUAACCUAUUGAAGCAAGAAAAGAAACCUUGAAAUGUACUUAGAGUGAAUCAAUUAAGACAUGCAAAGCCAGUACUAAUCCAGUUUUAUUAAUAACUUCCACAAAAUUACAACACGUGACGUAAAAAGGGAAUAUGAUAGGUCAUGUAUUGAUAACGUGUACAACAUUACUACCCUUGACAUAAAAAGAGAAGUUGAUGAGUCAUGUCUCAAUAACGUGUACAACAUUACUAUCAGCUUGUUCAUCUUACCAUCAUACUAUACAACACUACGAGUUAGUUUAAAAAGGAAUAAGAGUUCAGAAUGAACAUGACAGUACUAGCCUAAUCUAUCUUAACAACAUGCACAAGGACACAAAGUUUGUCUGCCACAAGAUAUGAAGAUUUGGUUUAUGUCUAACAACUUGUAUAACAUGACAAACUUAGAUCCAAAGGGAACACAAUCCAUAUAAUUGUUUGACAUGUAAAGUGAAUAAGAUGAGUCAGUGCCAAUUAUCAAGUUUUCCUCACUCUUAGAUAAUAUGAGUAGCAAAAAGGCAACUUUGAUGAUCACUCCAAAAUUACGAUUGUAUGCCGUGCCACCAAACACAACACACCAAAAAAUUAGUUCGAUAAGCAUUGAAUCACUUUAAAAAAGGAAAGCAGUGAUGAAAAGAAACCUAGCCAUGGUGGCUAUAAAAAGGCCUGCAAUAUGUGAGCUCCAUACCAUCAUCCAUCCUUCACACAACUAGAGCACAAGCAUCAAAUCCAAGUAGGUAGUAGUUAACGCAAAUCCACCAUGAAGACCUUACUCAUCCUGACAAUCCUUGCGAUGGCAAUAACCAUCGCCACCGCCAAUAUGCAGGCCGACCCUAGCGGCCAAGUACAAUGGCCGCAACAACAACCAUUCCUGCAGCCUCACCAACCAUUCUCCCAGCAACCACAACAAAUAUUUCCCCAACCCCAACAAACAUUCCCCCAUCAACCACAACAACAAUUUCCCCAGCCUCAGCAACCACAACAACAAUUUCUCCAGCCCCGACAACCAUUCCCCCAACAACCACAACAACCAUAUCCCCAGCAACCACAACAACCGUUCCCCCAGACUCAACAACCCCAACAACCAUUUCCCCAGUCCAAGCAACCACAACAACCUUUUCCCCAGCCCCAACAACCGCAACAAUCAUUCCCCCAACAACAACCAUCGUUGAUUCAACAAUCUCUACAACAACAGUUGAACCCAUGCAAGAAUUUCCUCUUGCAGCAAUGCAAACCUGUGUCCUUGGUGUCAUCCCUCUGGUCAAUCAUCUUGCCACCAAGCGAUUGCCAGGUGAUGCGGCAACAAUGUUGUCAACAACUAGCACAAAUUCCUCAGCAACUCCAGUGUGCAGCCAUCCAUAGCGUCGUGCAUUCCAUCAUCAUGCAGCAAGAACAACAAGAACAACUACAGGGUGUGCAAAUCCUGGUGCCACUGUCUCAACAGCAACAGGUGGGUCAAGGUAUUCUCGUCCAGGGUCAAGGCAUCAUCCAACCUCAACAACCAGCUCAAUUGGAGGUGAUCAGGUCAUUGGUGUUGCAAACUCUUCCAACCAUGUGCAACGUGUAUGUCCCACCUUACUGCUCCACCAUCAGGGCACCAUUUGCUAGCAUAGUCGCCAGCAUUGGUGGCCAAUGAAAAAAAACAAGAGCUAUUCUAAAAGUUAGAU